AAAGUAAAUUAGGUGUCAGACUCAGAUGUUUUUCAAGCUUUAAUACCUAUUUCUGGUACGUGGAAAAACAACAGAAUCAAAUAGUUUAUAUGUAUCUUGUAACUAACAACUGUUCAUUAAGAACUGAAUAGGGGUGCAUAUUGUUGUAAAGAUCAACCAGGCUUCAGAGAGGGAAAGGGUCUUUUUCAAUUUAGUGUUUCUUGUGUUGGCCUUUUGGUUUUCUGUUGGGUAUAUUCAGUUUGAAUAGAUCUCAAUUUUUCUUUUGGGAAGGGGAAAUACUGUUAAUAGUACCACUUAGUUUUAUUUUUUGGGUAGCUGUUAUGUUUUAUUGAUUUCUCCACUUUCGGAGUAUUUAUAUUUGAACUUUUUGAAAGAGCAAUGAAUAUGCUGCUUAAUGCUUUAAGGAGGUUAAUUAGAGAUACAAGGAACCUAUUACUUCAUAAAAGAAAGCUCAGAGUACAGAAUUGUUAUUUCCUUAAGAAGUCAACUUUUUCCCAGUAGCACGGCGAACAGAUUUUUUGGAGAUCUCAUUCUCUUGGAAUCAUGUUUCCUUUCGUUCAUCUGUAACUGCUUAUACUUUUUCUUUGUCUGGAUGUGUUACUUACCUGCAUGAUUUAUUUUCAUGAACAUGGUAUUUGAUAGCCUCAGUUCUAGGUUGCAUAAUUCCUGGUAAAUCAACUCCAACUGAACAAAGAAGCAAAAGAAUUUAGAGACAUCUAUGGUAAUUAAAAUGGAUUGCUUAGAGUUUCUGCUUGUCUUGGUGGAUGUUAUUUUGUCAUCAUAUAUGUUUGUUUGCAUUGGAAACCAUAUGAGUAUAUUUCUGCAGGAAUACUAUUCCAUACUUUUCUCAGAGACAACGAGUAAGGCACAGUUAGUCCACAAUGCCAGUUUGACAAAUUGUUGUUGUGUGUUGGAUUUGAGACUUCUUGUCUUCAUUUAUUUCAUUGACGGACCUACCAAUUGAUAAUUGUCUUUUCUUUGUAAUUCUCUUUAUCAGGCACAUUCAUGAUCAGAAUUAAUUGGUAAUUUCCUUAUCUGUAAAAGUUGUCUCUUAAUCUAUGAACUGUUUGUUCCGCAACCUGUAGCUUGAUCCACAAAUAGGUAAAAAUUUAUGACCACAUAAACUUCUUUGUCAAUCAUGUCUAACAACUACGUGAUUCCAGAUGUAUUUUACAUCACUACAGUUAUGGAUUUGUUUUUGUUUUUUCAGUAUUCUGUGUAUUAUUAUUGACUUCUCUGCUAUUCUACAUCAUAAAAGGACCACCAUAAUUGAAAUGUCUGAAUAUAUUUUUGAAAAUGCAUGCAUCUGGUUCGUUAUAAAAUUCUUUGAUGUUAACAGUACUUGGGUUUUCCUGGUUGGUUCAUUGCCUUUAGAUUAUAAAUGCAGUACUAGGUUAAAGCUCUACAACAGCUCAUAUAAUAUUGGAUGUGCAAAUUCUAAAUGUGGACUGCCGUGACCAACACGAGUUCUUUGAUGUCUUAUAUCGUGUACUAGCAUGUAUGUGUAAUAUUGUAUUAGCUCAAGUUGAUGCUCCAUUUUUAUGGUCUUUGUACAAGUUGGCUCUGUAAACAUUUACUCGGGGCUUUUUGUGUUGUAUCAGGAAAACUGUACCUGCAAAGGGUUUUGUUUUCUUCUGUAAAAUGGUUUCAUGAAUUGCAUGUGCUUUUGCUGGUGGGUUGCUUUUUUCAGGGAUGGCAGCUCCGGAAAAGCCACCCUACUUGUCCUGGUUAGAGACUCUCUCCCUGGUGAGAUACUCCAUCAGAAUACCCCAAAAAAGAAAGUAAAUUUUCAGUUCAUACAAUUUGAUCUUAUUGCCAUUUCAACUAGUAUAAUUUAUACUGAUGGUUGAAUACCAUCAGAAAGUUUAACAGUGAAAUGACAAAAUUUCAAAGUGAAAUAAAAUCAAAGCAAAAAAAAAAAAAGUGAAAUUAUAGUUCUCCAAGCUUGUACCUUUCUUGUCAUCUUGAGCUUAAUUUAAUGGUAAGCAAAAAUGGAGUUAUAGAAAUAUAUGUGUAUAUAUAUGUAUGUAUGUAUACAAUAUUUAAUUAACCCAAAGACCAAGAAAACACAUGAAAGCAGCAGCUUAGGAAACCCAUCUUUUUCAUUACCAUAUAUACCUUAAAACCCUUCCUUUAUUCACGCCUUUUUGGAAGGGUUAAGUGAAGAAGGAAAGCUCCUGUCUCAGUCCCCACCACCUAAACUCUCUUUCAUGUCUCUUUCUACCUCCCUCUAUUUAAUUGCGGAAUAUGACACCAUACAUUUUAUUUAUUUAUUUAUUUUUUUUUUUUACUUUCAGUGAAAACUAAUUAAUCUUUUAAAAAUUAAGAUAAUAAAUUACAUUUUAAAUCUAUUUUAUUCAGACAAAAGGGUAAUUAAAAUUAAAUUAUAUUUUGAAUUAUUAAUAUAUAUAUUUAUUAUUACUUUCUUCUGUGCCCUCCUUGUCUGAAUAUCAAAUCAAGAGACACACAGUGUUGUCGCCCACAUUUGAUUUUUCCUAUUUUAUUGUCGUCAGCCCAAGUCAAUGAGUACCCCCUUGGGGACUGGAGUCCUCACUUUGACAAAUAUACCCCCGUAUUAUUACCCUCCUUUUAAUUUCAAAAUUAAUAAUUCAAUUUAAUUAUUAAAAAUAUAUAAAAAUUAUUACUAAAAUUAAAAUUAAAACAAAAAAAAUAACAAGGAAACGCCAAUUAAUUAGUGUCCAAUCACGUACGCCACCUCGAACUCCACGUGGCGGCCUCCGCCUACUCGCACCACAAACUGACGAUCACGUGUCAGGUCAACUGCCUUCCGUUACCAACCGUCGCUGACUUGUAUGCCGAGGUGUCCCUUCCUUAAUUCUGACCCUACACGUGGCACAUCCUCGUUUUUUUUUUUGUAAAUUAUAUUAAUAAUGUGUAAGAUAAUUACGAAAAGAAAUUCUUUAUAAAACUAAAAAUUUAAAGUGUCAAGGGGACCUUUACGUGAAUGAGUGCGCGUGUGUGUCACCCUACCACGGUCACGUCCUUGUCACGUGGCUUACCCUCCGUGUGGCGGCACCGCCCUCCUACGAAUAUUAUAAUGUUUUUCUUAUUUAUAAUUCAUUUUAUUUCAUUAAAAUAUUCGAAAAUAUCAUAUUACAUUAAAUUUAUGGCGAGGAAAUAUACUAUAAUUUCAAUUUUAUGUUAUUUUUGCAUUAUAUUAUACCAUACAUAUAUAUUAAAUUAUAUAUAGAGAGAGAGAUAUAUAUAUAUAAUAUUCUUGUUUUGUGAAAUUUAUGCUUUCAAAUCAAACAUGAUUUAACAUCUAAGUGGAAUUUUAUUAGUGAGAUUAUGAUGAAUAAUUAUAAUUGGAAAUACACGAGGAUCCCAUUAUUUUGUUGAGUCCACUAAAGAAUUCGUGUAGGGAUUAAUUGAAUUUUUAUUAUUUUUAUAUAAAUAAGAAGCAAAUGUAAAUGGGUAAGUGUUUAAUUUAAAUUUGUUGAAAUUAAAAUAAUAAUAAAUUUAAAGGAUAUAAAUUAAUUAAUUUUUUUUAAAUAAAUUUUUAGUCAAUUACUAAUUUUAAAUAAAUUAACUCAAGAAUCAUAUAAAUUAGAUUAUAUUUAUCCUCGUAUUAUAUAAUAGGUAAAAUCUCAAUAUAUUUAAUAAUUAUUGUCUUCUUAUUAUUUUAAUAUUUAUCAAUUAUUUAUAUAAUAAAUAAUUUAAAUUAACUAAAAAAGUUUAUAAAAAAUUAGACCCGUUAAAAAUAUGCAAAUUUAUUUAACAAAAUAUACAAACCUAAUUUGAAAAUACCACAUAAUAUUUGAAUACUACUUUGAUUUAAAAUAUAAAAUUAUUAAAUAUUUAUUUAACAACAUACCACAUUAUUGUCUUGUAGAUCAAAUAAGAUAUAUAUAUUUUUUAAUAAAAAACAUUUUUUAAACUAAAUAAAUAAAGUAAGAAAUAUGAGAAGAUGACACGUGGCAAGUAGAAGUGAGAGAUGGGAAAAAAGCAACAGUAGGAAACAGACAGAACCUUAUCGGCAACUACCAAAACUGUCCUUUUGGGGGUGGGGGGGGGCCACUUAUUGACCACACCCUUUCCUCUCCGCCUCUCGGCCACUCACCCUCCUAUUGAUUUUACCAUUCUACCCUUCCCCCAUCCCACAAAUUACCAUCCCCGUUUUAUUUAUAAAAGAAGAGACAAAAGUCAAAUAAAUUAAGAAGUCGUGAUGCAUUUUAUUUUAUAUUUAAUAAAUACUAAUUUUUAAGUAUCUCAAUUUAAUAGUUAAAAUUUUUUUAAACUUUUAACCCUACCAAUUAAUGGGUAUGUAGCUAGGCGAUAUAAAUAUAAAUAUAUAUAUAUAUAUGUGUGUGUUUGUGUGUAUAUAUCUAUCAUAAAUCACUUCGAUAGCCCACAAUAAUUAAGAAAAUUCCUAUUUAAUACUCAAAAUAGGAAAGUAAAGUACUUUUAUGAUGAUAUAGAGUACCCCAAUUGAGAUUUCUCAUUAAUUAUUAAAAACAUAUGCGACAUGUUUUAUGUGUUUUCCUUUUCCAAUCUUUUUGGUGUCUAUAUGUGUGUGUGUAUAUAUAUAUAUAUAUAUAUCUUCAAAUAUAUGUACUUGUAUUCAAAUUUAUAUCAUUAUUUAUGCACAAAUGCAUGCAAGUUGCAUAAAUGAUAUAUAUAUAUAUAUAUACACACGCACAUAUAUAUACUCGCACGUAAUAUUAAUUGUUAUGUAUGUAUAUGAAUGUGUGAUCAACAUUUACUUGAUAAUUUGAUUUCCAAAUUUAUUUUUAUUCUAUCUACAAAAAUUACCAAAUGUUAUACUUCAAGCAUGUAAAAUUUAAUAUAUAUAUAUAUAUAUAUAUGUUAAAAUUGCACGAUAAUGGAUAUAAUAUAAUUUAAUUUUGUAGGAAAAUUCAUUAAUUGUUCGUAUACAUACAUAUAUAUAUAUAUAUAUAUAUAUAUAUAGAAAAAGGUGAUGUAUGUCUUUGAGGUUGGAGACAAGUAAUUAAGCAUGCAUGACAAAUGCAUAAUGACAAUAUAAUGGUCGGUUUCUGGCUGAGUUUGCCACGUUACCUUCUUCAUUAAUUUUACCUCCCAAUGACAUUUUGGACACACAUAUAUAAUACCAUAUAUGUUCACAUAUAUAUUUCAUAAAUAUAAUAUAUUUAUUGAAAUUCAACACCAAUUUGAUUAUUAUAAUGUUCAAAAUAUUUAUUUUAUAAAAAAAUAUAAUAAAUUUAUUAAGAUUAAAUAAAAUAUUUGUGUGUUGUAAUUUUAGUUAAAUUUUCCAUUCUAUUUAAUUUUAUAUUUUGAAUUAAAUUUAAAUUUAUUAUUUUUAAUUAAAAUAUAAAAAAUUUAAUCACUAAUUAUUAUAUUAUUAAUUAUAUAAAAUUAUAUUUGUAUUUAUAUAAGUACGUACGUACAUUUUAUGGCACUUAGUGUAGCAUUAAUUAGUUGUGUGUACAUUUAUUUCUUAACUUAAAAAUAAAUUUAAAUUAAUGUUUUGGAUUCCCUCGCCCGUACGAUUUUCUAAAAAAGGAAAAUUAAGAAGAAUACAAAAUGAAAUAUGUAUUAUUACGUGAACUAUAAGAUUUAAAUUUCUUGAUAUAUAUAUAUAUAGUGAAUGCGUGUAUGUAUAUAUCUCUAAGACAUACACAUUGCUAAAUAAUAAGUCUUUUAAAGGGUCUAAUUUAUUAUUUAUAUUGGUUCCAACUAAUUUAAUUAAGAUUUAAUUUGUUAUUUAUGUUAAUAAUAUUUCACAGAUAUCUACACUCUACACCUAUAUAUUUACAACUAUAUAUAUAUAUAUAUAUAUAUAUAUAUAUACACACACAUAUAUACAGCUGGGUUUUUAAUUUUACAUAAAUACGUGAAAUUUAAAGAUAUAUAAAAUCAAAAUUAGACUAAAUACCCAAUAAAUAAUUUUAUGUAAAUGAUAAAAAAAAUAAACCAUGUUAUCAAACUUUCAUAAAAUAUUAUGAAACUUUGGUUAUGGAAGUAUAGCUUACACGCCCACAUUUACAUAUAUGUGUGUGUGUAUAUAUAUAUAUAUAUAUGUAUACACAACGUACACAAUGCAAAAACGAGUGCACAUAUAUUUGAUGUACUGAAUAAUUUCCAGACGAAAUAAAAAUAAAAAUUGGAUACGAUUCCUACAAAACUCCAAAAGGAAAAGAAGAACACAUAAUUAAUGCACCAUGCCCUGCUCAUGAGGUAACAUGAAAUUGAACCUACACCGCCUCUUCAUACACUCUCUGAUAAUCACUGCUCGCCACCCCCGCAUAAGGUUAAAACUCCACAUUUAAUGCCAAAAGGUUUCCUAAACUAGCCAAUACAUACGUACAUACAUACAUAUAUAUAUAUAUAUACACGUAUACGUACACCCGCACAAAUAUGUAUACAUAUGUUCAUCCUAAUUUAAUCACACCCAUAAUUUAAUUUAUUAAAAGAAAAAAAAAACUGUUUAAUUUAAUUAUUUCUGACAGGAGGAAAAAAGAAAAGGAAACGUCCGGAAGAAAAUCUAUCGCUGUCCGGACACGUGUACGACAAGGAUGAUAGAGUGCAGAGAUCGUGAUUAGUACGAUGGGCGUACCAGAUUCACUGUAACGUACUCAUCAUACGGCUUUGAUUUUUUAUGCACUGUUAAGUAAUUAUCAUAACAAUUAUGGGGUCCCGGGGUAUUUAUGGAAAUUCAUCAAUUUGUGGAGGGUAUUAGUGUAAUUUCAUGGUUUUCCCCCCUUCUUAAUUGCUCCUUGUAUAAAUAGUGCGAAGCUGGUGCGUUAUACAGUUGAGACUCAUUACACCUCCUCCAUAAACAAUUACAGUCAUCUCUCUCUCUAUCUCUGGUACUCUCUCUUCUCUCUACUUGAAGCGUUUUUCUUCUCCAGCCACACAAGAUAAUAACUAUAUAUAGAGAUAAUGUAAACUAUAUAUAAUACAUACACGUAUAUAUACAUGUAUACUCGAUAGUUUUUAUAUGAACCUUCCGGUUUCAUAUCCUUAAUUAACUGUAUAGAUAUAUAUAUGUAUAUUCGUUAGUUUUUAUAUGAAUGUUCUGGUUUCAUAUCCUUAAUUAACUAUAUGUAUAGAUGUAUGUAUGUAUGUAUAUGAAUCUUUCUCUCUUAUAUCUCAUUUAAAUUUUCUUCUUCCUUCUAAUUUUGUGUGUGUGUGUAUAUAUGUAAUAUAUAUAUAUAUAUAUGUAGAUACAUGUAUACUUAGAGAUGAAAACGGUUAUUGGCAGGCAAGAUGCAUCAAGUAUAUGUUAUGCGUAUAUGCGAUGUAAUGAUUGUAUAAUUUUAUAUUAUUUUAAUUUUUUUAUUGAUUUAUUUAAAAAAUAUUUAAUUUGAAAAAUGUGUAAGUAAUUUCAGGUAUUAAUCCAGAGCUCGCAGACUAGUCAUGGAGAAGCCGAAUUCAUCGACGACCAGCUUGGUUAGGACAAAGUCGGACCAGCUACUGGAGAUUGCAACGGCUGCGUUGAAGUCACCCCCAAAUGCGACCGACGGCGACGGGAUAAAAUCAGAAGGCGGCGGGACUCUCUCGAGGAAGUCGAGCCGGAGGCUUAUGAUUCCGGCUUCGCCGGGACGCGGCGGCGGCAAUAGCAAAAACACGCACAUUAGGAAGUCGAGGAGCGCUCAGCUGAAUAAGUUGGAGUUGGACGAAGUUAGCAGCGGCGCGGCUCUCAGCCGAGCGUCCAGCGCUUCUCUUGGCCUGUCGUUCUCUUUCACCGGCUUCACCAUGCCUCCCGACGAGAUCGCCGACUCCAAGCCGUUUAGCGAUGAUGAUACACGUAAGUAUAGCUCUAUAUUAUUACAAUGUGGCCGCUAAUUUUGAUGCAAUAUUAAUUACUCUUUUUAUUUUCUUUUAAUUAUUUAUUGUCGGCACAACUCCAAAUGAAAAAUACACAUGAGUUUAUGCAUUAAUGGGUUGGUUUCAAAUUCGCACGGUGCAUAUCUCUUGGCAAAUAAUAUAUGGGGUGUGAUUUGGCAUUUCAUUUUAAUUACUCUUUAAAAUAAAUCUCUACUUUUUUUUAAUAACAUUAUUUCUUUUUUAUUUUAACCUAUUAGUAAUAUAAUAUAUAUAUACAUAUAUAACAGCCAUUAGAAUUAAAAAAUAAAGAUAAAUGGGUAUUAGCUUUUUCUUUUUUGGUAAGAAAUAUAUAUUAUUUUCUUGUGAGAAAAAAAAAAAAGUGGGAAAAUGGGUAUUGUUUGAUAGAUAUGGAUAUGAUUUUGGCCUAUCAUAAAAGACAAUAAGGCGCAUUGCCCAUUAAAAAUAAAAUAAAAAAUUUCAGAAAAAGGGACAUAAAUUUAUACAUUAUAAUAUUAAUUUUGUGGUUGUUAAUAAAGAAGAAAAAAAAAAAUUCAUAACUUAAAAUUAUAUUGUGCGAUUGGAUUUAGUUGUUCUGGUCUGGUCUUGAUUUCAAUUUUUUUUUUAAAUAAAAUAAAUUAUGUUGUGUGAAAUUGCGUUAUUAAAUGACAAGAAACCAAAACUGUCAGCUUUUUAGGAAGAAAGAUUUUAGACUUCUCAGUACUCUCUUAGGCUGUGUGUUUGGUACUCUUUUGUCACCUACCGUGUAGAUCAGAUCAUAUUUGAUAUUUAACAAGAGCCGAUUAUGUAUUAAUUUUUUCUUAUUAGAUUAAUUUUAUUUUCAAGUAUUGUAUACGUUAAAUUAUUUUAAAUCACCCAGGUUUGAUUAUGUUUAAACUACGGUAAAUUAUCAUAGAAUUCAUAUAAUUUUAAAGUGAAUUUACGAAAAUAGUUCAUUUUAUUUCAAACAAUACCCUUAAAUCACAAGAAUUAAUUGAUGUUUUGACAUAAAACUCACACACACACACAUAUAUAUAUAUAUAGAUACAUAUAGAUAUAUCGUUAUCCAUACAACUGCAUUGCCUGACAAACUGUGUUGCUGAAGAGAAAAUUAGUCUACCAGGUGUCCCAAUUUGUCAGAAAUUCCAAAAGAUAGGGUUUGGCAAUUUUCGGAAUAUGAUUCAGUCUGGACAUACAUUUAGUAAAAUUUUAAUUUAUGCAGAUGCAUAUGAUUUGACACAAUAAAUAUUUUUAAUUAAAUAAAAAAAUAUUCACAAAUUCUCUUGCAAAUAGUACAAAUUAAAGUGUAAAAAGGGUUUAAGCAAUUAGGGAAUUGUAAGUAGAACUAGACAAAAUUUAAUUAAUUAAAAUUAGUAAGAAUUUUAUUCAAUUUUUUAAAGAUACAAAUACUUUAUUUUUAAUAAAUUAUAUAAUAUGCAGAAUAACUAAUUAAAUUAUUAAUUUUUGUAAAAAACUUAAAAGUUAUUAUUAAAAAGAUAUAUGAUAAGACAUCAAUAAUAAAUGGUAUUAUUUUAUGGACCAUAGAUUGUGAUGUGUUUACACAUACAAGCACAACUCACAAUCAUUUAUUUGCAUGACUGUGCAAAAUGGGUGCUAGCUGGGUCAAGGUACCCUAAAAAGAAGGUGCUGUCAAAUUCAUGUGGAGAAAAAAAAAAAAAAGAGGAAAUGUAUUUCAGAUUAAUAAUUGAUCCUUCCUAGCACCCAUAAACGUCUCAAUCUUAACAUAGAACUACCUUAAGUCGAUGGUGUUAUAUAUAUAUAUAUAUAUAUAUAUAUAUAUACACACACACACACACGCAUUGUAACUUAUAUGAAAAUAAAAUUGAAAACCCAUCUUUGUUAACUAGUAUACUUUCUGUCAAAAUCAUCUGGAAAAUUAUGAGCAGAAUCGUCAGCAAGAAUGGUGAGGUUGAGUUUUUCAUCUUCUUCUUCUUCUUCUUUGUAAUUGAAUGCAUACACACACACACACACACACACACACACAAAAGAUACAAGUUUUUAUUAAUUGAAUGCACAAAAGAAAAAUGAAGAGCUUCUUCUCCUCCUUUUACAAGAAAAACAUCAAAAUAGAAUUCCAAAAGAGAAAAGCUUCACCACCCUUAAUUAGAAGAGAUCAAGCUCAGGUAGAACAAGGCACUGCAUUUUCAAACAUAUUUCAACUUCAAAUGCACAAAAAGUCUUGAAAAUUUCUGUUGUUGCAGCUGAUGAUCUUGAAGCGGGCACCAAGAAGCCGAAGUUUCAAACAGAACCAACCUUGCCAAUUUAUCUGAAGGUAAGUCACUACUAGUCUUUCCCAUGGCAGAGCUUUCCACAUUUUUCCAUCGCUUAUUAACUGCAUCUUCAAGCACUGCGACAUGAUCUGGCACUUGUUUGGUUGACAAUGGAGCCUGGAUUGAUUUCUAUUUUCGACACUUAUGUAUUUGGACAGGAAAGGAUGGAGAGUUAUCUAAAGAUCAACUGCGUUUCAUAGAACAUGGCUUGCAGGGUCAGGUUCAGUCUUGUACAGAAGUCUCACCUUAUAUGACAUUUAUGUACAAGACAAGACAGUCAAAACUGUGAAACAUUCGGUUAAUUUUAACCUCCAAAGAAACACACUUAACCAAUCCAACUGUCCCUUAAAGAGAAACAUGUCUGAAGAUUAAAAAAAAAAAAACAGCAUUUGAUACUAAAAAGUUUCAUUUUAUAUCACUUUGAUACUGGGUCUAGAGAAUGCUCUGAGUCCUGCAUUUGGUGUUCUAACAUCUUUCUUGCUACGCUAGGCUAUAUCUAUAUCGAUAUGUUAACUGCAAGAAAAUUCUGUCAGUUUAUUUAAAUGAAGGCUUGUUUCCAACUGUAAUUUGCAGUUCAAAGAUGUGUCAUACAAAGUGAUUAUAAAAGGGAUGACAUCGACUGAAGAGAAGGAUAUCUUGAAUGGGAUUACUGGCUCAGUAAAUCCUGGGGAGGUUUUGGCACUUAUGGGACCUUCUGGUAGUGGGAAAACAACACUGCUCAAUCUGCUUGGUGGCAGGAUAAAUCAGCCAAAUAUUGGUGGUCUGAUUACUUACAACGACAGACCUUACUCCAAGUUUUUAAAGAGCAGGUAAGAAUCUUAAACUUUUUUCAAGCCAACUAUUUGCCAACUGUUUGAAUUCAGCUUGUCUAGCUAAUCAAGUAUUUUUUUCAGUUAGCAAGUUUAAUUUUGACUAAAACUGAGCCGACAUUAAACAGUUUGCAAAUGUAUUGGCUUGUUCUCAGCACUGAUAAGCACAAACUAACGGUACAUUAACAUGGUAAUAAAUGACAGGAUAGGAUUCGUGACUCAAGACGAUGUUCUGUUUCCUCACCUUACAGUGAAAGAAACACUGACCUAUGCAGCACUACUAAGACUGCCAAAGACUUUGACAAAACAGCAAAAGGAAAAACGAGCAAUGGAUGUGAUAUAUGAACUAGGUUUGGAGAGGUAGAAACUCUAUUACUUGAUUUGGAUUAUAGCAAUUAUUAGUUACCUUCAGUCUGCAGAUAGCAAGGAGUGUAAUAAUAAGCAUCUAGUACUAACUUUGCUUCUCAGUUUGAGGCUGAUGAAUAGGAGAACCAUACAUGUGCAGGUGCCAAGACACAAUGAUUGGUGGCUCCUUUGUCCGGGGAGUGUCAGGUGGAGAGAGGAAAAGAGUUUGUAUAGGCAAUGAGAUCAUAAUCAACCCUUCCCUCCUGUUUCUCGAUGAGCCGACCUCUGGCUUGGACUCUACAACUGCUUUAAGAAUUGUUCAGAUGUUACAAGACAUAGCAGAGNNNNNNNNNNNNNNNNNNNNNNNNNNNNNNNNNNNNNNNNNNNNNNNNNNNNNNNNNNNNNNNNNNNNNNNNNNNNNNNNNNNNNNNNNNNNNNNNNNNNNNNNNNNNNNNNGUAUGCUUUAUGUGCCAAGCAGGCUGCAAGAUAUCUACAUAUAUAUAUAUAUAUAUAUAUAAAUAACCUGGAGUUAGUACGCGACUAACCCACCCUGACUCUUGUUAUACAGGCUGGGAAAACUGUAGUUACAACAAUUCACCAGCCGUCAGGUAGACUCUUCCACAGAUUUGACAAGCUGAUUCUUCUAGGGAAAGGAAGCUUGCUUUAUUUUGGAAAAGCGUCAGAAGCUAUGGUUUACUUCUCGUCUAUAGGAUGCUCACCUCUAAUUGCUAUGAACCCAGCAGAGUUCUUGCUAGACCUUGCGAAUGGCAACAUAAAUGAUGUAUCAGUACCAUCAGAACUAGAGGACAAAGUGCAGAUUGGAAACUCAGGGAGAGAGAUGAGGAAUGGGAAGCCAACCCCAGCAGUUGUCCAUGAGGUAACUUUUCACUAAUAUUACUUGAAAGAAAAACGAUAUUCUCUGCAAAUUAUGAAUUGGAUAAAAUGAUGCACUGACAUUCAUAAUAGGAAAACUGAAAAUUGGACCGGAGAUCCAGAUAUGAAGACAAUGAUUAUUUUCCAUUAGACAUCUCUAAUUUCAAGUUUGUAUCCUCAGCAUGCAGCCAAUAGCUGCUCCACUCCUCAAAAUUCCUCCAAGAAACAUAUUAUUGCUGGUAUAUAGAUCAGAUGACUGAACAGUUUAUAUGGAUCAUUUUCCCUUUUUUUUGAAAUAAUCUGUGGAUCAUUUUCUUGAGAGAAAAUAUCCUCAAGUUGGAACAUUAAAAUAUGGUAGGUGUCUCAUUUAGGUUGCACAUUCCUUUCCUUGAUUAGAUAUUACCACAUGUGAACUUUUAGGCUGCUUAGAUUCGCUCAUUAACAAGUAGACAGCAGAAUAGCUUACAGUUAAUAGUUCUUGACUUAUAGAAUUUUCAUUACUGCUCCAAUAUCAAAAACUACUAUGCUCUCCUUCUCAAAAAAAAAUAAUAAUAAUAAAGAAAAGAAAAAGAACUACCACUUUCCUAACAGUCUUCUCCCAUUAAAAGCAGUACCUCGUGGAGGCAUAUGAGACACGAGUAGCAGAAAAAGAGAAAAAGAAACUUACAGUUCCUAUUCCACUUGAUGAUGAAGUUAAAUCAAAAGUUGCGUCCCAAAAGCGACAAUGGGGGACAAGCUGGUGGGAGCAAUAUUGCAUACUAUUCUGGAGAGGAAUUAAAGAACGACGACAUGAUUAUUUCAGCUGGUUGAGAAUCACUCAAGUUUUGUCUACUGCAGUCAUUCUAGGACUACUAUGGUGGCAGUCAGAUGGUAAUAGCCCCAACAGCUUGCAAGAUCAGGUAAAUUAUCAUCUUUAUCCAGCUUAGAAGUUUUACUAAAUCGCUAAUUUUCCAAGAUAUUUUCAAGUUCCCCCCAAAAGAAUCUGUUAUGGUCACUUUGAAAAAGAUGAAGGGUUUACUGACUCAGAAAAAGAAUUAGAAGAGCACAUAACUAAAACCAUAGACCGCUACAAAAAUGAGCCUCUCAUAAAAUGCUACAGAUUACUCAGUUUAUACCCGUUUGGACACCUAAAUUCCCUUAGGUUUUUUAUUCUUCAUCUAAUUUCUUAAUUUAUCUGAUCAGCUACCAUCACCUUAAAAAUGGUCAGUCAGUAACAAGGUUUCAGACACAGAGCGAGAUAAAAAUUAUAAAGUAAGAACAGAGUUUAAUAGCCGAUGAAUUAUAAGGAAAGGGAAAUAUAUAAUGCAGAGGCAUUUCUUUCUAAUUUAAUUUUUAGGUAGACAGAACUUACCUCUUUAAAGUUGAAGCUGAAAUUUGAUUCAUAAGGUAUUAGUUAAAAUUGAAUUUUUCCUUGCAGACAGAAUUUAUGAAACCUAGAAACUUAAGCUUCCUGUAUUGCAGGCAGGGCUUCUUUUCUUCAUUGCUGUUUUCUGGGGAUUCUUUCCGGUCUUCACUGCAAUCUUCACAUUUCCUCAAGAACGAGCCGUGCUGAGCAAGGAAAGAGCAGCUGACAUGUAUAGACUAAGUGCAUACUUUGUGGCUAGGACUACAAGUGACCUCCCACUUGACCUAUUACUACCAGUUCUCUUCCUUCUUGUUGUGUACUUCAUGGCAGGCUUGAGACUAAGUGCCGGUCCCUUUUUCCUAAGCAUGCUUACAGUCUUUCUCUGCAUUGUUGCAGCCCAGGUAAACCUGUUUGAAAUUACUCAUCAAGAGAAAACUGAAAAAACUCAUACCUGAUAUCAUUUGCUAAAGACUGGUUUCUGCAUCAGGGACUUGGACUAGCUAUUGGGGCUACAUUGAUGGACUUAAAGCGGGCCACAACUUUAGCAUCAGUAACUGUCAUGACCUUCAUGCUGGCUGGAGGGUACUUUGUCAAGGUAAGAAAGAAAUUUCUUGAAGAAUAAAAUCAAUUUUCUGAACAUUUUUAUUUACAAGAAGAGGAAAAUGCUUCGGCCUUACAAGUUUCAACAACAGAAAUUCCAAAGAUAAUUGCAAUAAAAACCGCUUCUGUACUUAUCAAAGAAGUCCAUUUUUGCAUUCAGUUAUCUAGAACACAUUGGGUUGAAAUGACAAGGGAUUUUUCUUCAUCACUGCAGAAAGUUCCAGUAUUCAUAUCUUGGAUCCGCUACAUGUCUUUCAACUACCACACUUACAAGCUUCUUCUCAAGGUUCAAUAUGAAUGCAUCAUGCCGACAGUUAAUGGCAUGAGAAUAGACAGUGGUCUAAUGGAAGUAAGUGCCCUGGUAGCAAUGGUUUUUGGCUACCGUCUCUUGGCAUACCUUUCAUUGCGGAGGAUGAAGCUCCAUUCUGGCGCUUAGAUGAUCCACAAAUUUGGAAGAAUGUAUACCUCGACAACUUAACAAGAUGACUAUCACUAUCCAGUAUCCACAUGUCCAAGAGCUAUCUUUCAAAGGCUUGGGUUUGAGGGAUCGUGAAAAGAAAAUCCACAAAGGAUAUUCAAUCCUGAUUUUUUUGGAUUUUCAGCCUCUAAGAAUUUUGUCAAUGCAUCCCAUGUAGCAACCAAUGAAGGUUGCAUCGUAGGCAAAUGUGUGGAAUUUAUGAAGAUAAUUUAAAAAGAUUUUGGUUAAUUACAAACUCGGAUUUACAGGCUAGUUAUUAUAUCAAAGACAAUCCAUCUACUGUAACUAACCUAGACUAUGCCUUUCCGACUGAAACUGGGAAUAAAUUCUGAAAGUAGUUCCAAAUGGAAAUUUUGUCUAGCCAAGCCAAGUUAAUAAUUUGAUUGUAUUUUCGUGAACUGUUAUUGCAAAGCUAAGCCCAGUGACAACAAUAUUACACAUCAAAUAAGAACAUUAUUUAAAGCAAAUCUUUGUAGUGCUAGAAGCAGCACAUUAGUGAAUUCAGUUACCAAACUUAUUCGGAACCGGGGAUGAUAUGAUAUAUCUCUGAAGUGACUGAUUGCCAGUGAUAUGAACCUCACUUGAGGUCGAUGGAGGAUUAAAACCGCAAAGCUAAUGAGAGAAACUUUCUAUACUUCAACCUGCUGGAUCAUAGCUUUGCAGUAGUAGUUUCCAUCAUCCAACCUGCUGUAGAUCACACCUUUACAGUAGCUCCUCCAACCAAGGUAUCAUGAUAUGUCAUCUUUCCAUAUGAUGUCUUAUGCCAAUGUCCUUAACCAACCAAGUAAUGGGAGAAGGGCGGCAUCUAAUACAGAGGACUUCUUCUCUAGCCCUGUAGAGAAAACAAAAUAUAAGGCAAUAAAAUUUGCAGCGAUCGUGGGCUCUGUUUGGAGCUUUCAUUUUACAGACAUAAGCUAAUGCUGCUGAUCAAUUUGAAUGACUAGAGACUCAUACCCAAUGAACAUCAUUAUUCCCUCUCGACUACUUUGCUUCGGAAAAGAUUAUGCAAAAUUAUUCAGUCAUAUUGGCCAUUUAACCAACUAUUUGAUGUUUCUACUUCUGUUAUGGUAUCACUAGGGCUUCAACCAUACAGAAUUAAUUUUAAUCUAGUCCUGAUCAAAUUGCAAACAAGGGGUUAAAAAGAAAGAAUUAGAAAAAAAAAAAGAAAAUGCUCAGGUCCAGGCACUGCACUGCCUCAAGGAAGAGUAUACUGAUGCCAUAUAAGGUGCACAAGUUAUAUCUCGAUUUAAGUACACUUUUCGGGUGGCUUGCAGCUAAUGAGCAUUAUAUACUCCUCAUAUCCUCUUAACUAACUUAAUUAGGAAAAUGAGAAAGAAGUUCAGCCAUCUGAGUCACUGAACCAACCAAUUAAGAUGAUCAUUUAAAACACUGAAACAGAUGGAUCAGAAAACAACUGCAGAAGUUAACAUAGGGGCCAAAAUCUCCUACAGCAGGUGCAAGUUUGAAUGAAUCUUUUCACCACUGGUAUUUACCUAAUCAAGCUUUCAAAAAUGAUGAUAAGACCAUUCCAUGGGGAGAGAGGAAUUCUUACCAAUGUCAGCAGCUACUCGAUGAGCACACAUAACUCCUGAGAAAGCAACAGCUAUUACACCUUGUCCAGGAAAACAGGAAUCUCCAACACAAUAAAGGCCUUUUAUAGACUGCAGAUUUUAGUUAUUGGAUUAACCUGUCUAUUUAGAAAGCAGAAAUUUACUAAAAGCUACUUAUUAAAAAGCAUCCACCAGGUGGUGCCUGUCCUGACCUAGUGGUCAGUGCCUUUCUUCCACAAGGUAGACAGGUACAGCUUAAGUCAUGCCAAUUAUUCAUCACUCAAAAAAAGAAAAAUUAAAGCACCCACUUAUUAUGACUUACUGUGGUAUUAAAUGGCAUUCCCAGUAAGCCCUUAGGAUUUCCACGUGGCAUUGGUCCAUAAGUUCCCUCGUCACGGGCCAGGAAUCGUCUAUGCGUCUUUGGUGUCCCCACCUGCCAUAAUUGCAGACACUUUUAUGCUAAACAGAGAGCCAUAGACAACAAGAAGAGCUUGUACAAGGAAAACCUUGUUACAAAAUGCACCAGUAAGCCAUAAUUUUAAUGUACUUCAAGAGAAUGGAACUCAAUUUCCCCUUUACCCCUAUUCAGCUAACCACAUGAACCCAUUUCAACCAUCCCAUUAACCAUGUUCACGAGGACUGAUCACAACUAUCUAUAAGCCUCUUUACACUUUAAUAGCAUGAUGGCAUGGCCCAUACCUCCUUAAGAACAAUAGACGAUUUGAGCCCUGGAAACAAUUUUUUCUCCAGCCUGUUAAUGAUUUCAUCUGCCACAAUCUCCUUUUUUGCUUCAUAAUGUUUUCGAGGGAGACCCUAAAAAAGGUUAAAAAAAGCCUCUCAAUUCUUAAAAUUCAACAUAUUCAACAUUUAUUAACAUCACUGCUAACAUUUUACGAAGGGUCAGGAAGGAACACAAAGAUACUAAGAGGAGACGAGUUUUUUACGUUCACAUAACAUCAAUAUCAACAGCAAUUUAUAAUUAAUGAUUGCUUUGAUUGUACCUCCCAGUCUUCUAUUGAAGAAGUUGUAAAUAUGUGAAGAAUAUGGUGACCACUGGGAGCCAACGAUGAAUCAAGAACCGUAGGAAUGCUUAAAAAGAUACUUCCGUAAGGCUCCUCCAGUCUAGUCCAGUUAUCCUGAAUAAUCCAUGCAAUCUGUAUCAGGUGCCACAGAAGCCACAGGAGCUGUGGGAAAAAUGAAAUACCUCAAGCACAAAAUGGUGGCAAUCUGUGUCAGGUGGCAGAACCCCAGCUUUAACACCCAUGUGAAUGGAAAGAAAGGAUGGAGCCUUAACAUAAGCUUUCUGGAAAUUUUCUUCCUCAACUGGAAGCGUUUCUGCUUUUAGUAGCUUCCCUACACCAAAGCAAGUAUGAGUUUGCUAUUUUAUGAAGAAACCAGUAAAAGAGUGGGGACAAAACAUGGCCAGAUCAAUUAAUAAAGUGCAUAUAACUCCUUUGCAGAACAUACCAAAUGUAUCCCAUCUAGUAGCAUUUGAUAUUAUGGUUUUGGCAAAAAAUUCCCUUCCAUCUGACAGCCUUACGCCAACCUAAAAAAACAUCAAACUAAAAUCAAGAACAAAAACAAUAAUUUCACAAUACAACCAUGAAGUUUAAUGAUUCUGGAAGCAGUUAUGCAUAUAUUAUGGUUGCUGGGAAGUGUAUUAUAUGAGAAGUAGGGUAUGGGUAUAAUGAUAAUAUAUCCCUUGUAAUCUUUGUAAUUAAUUCGGGUUCCUUGUAUGAUUGCUAGGGACUUGUAUAUAUAGGUCUCUAGUAUUUAAUAAAAUACACAACAAUUUAUUCUUCUACAAGGGUGAAACUUACCGCCUCCCCAUGCUCAAGUAUAAUGCCAGUGACAUUUGCCUUGUAAAGUAUUUCACUUCCAUGAUCAACCAGUCCUUUUGCUAAGGACUUUGCAAUUCCACCAACACCACCAACGGGGUAGUUAAUUCCUCCAAAAUGUCUGUCACAUAGAACCUGGUGCAAACUGGAUCAGAGGAACAAGAUUAAGAAUAGAAAGAAGGGAGAUCCAGAGGUGAUUAAAAAGCUUACCAUGCUUGCAUUGAUCAUUGGUGUUUGCAAAGCCUUAACUGUGCUUACUAUGAAACACUGCAGAAAAGCAACAAGGCAUUUUCAGCCUUCACUGGAUAACGGAAGCUCUAAAACAAAAAAACAUCCAGCAUGGUGAUCAAAGGAAUGAUUCUGUCACACCUCUGCAUCUAUAAAAGACAAUAAUUGUGGAUCCUUGAUAUACUUUCGAGCUAUGUCUCCAGCAUUUUGAGGCAGAUAAUAGGCUGAACAAAAUAAAAACAGGUCAUCCCCAUUAAAGAAAAGGAAUUUUUAAUGGACUCUGUCUUCAAAAGCCUCCAUUGUGCACAAGGGUUUUUCAGAAAAUAUAGAAAUAUGAAGUCUUCAAUAAUCAAGAUGUUCUAGCAGAAAAACCUUAACAAAAAUGAAUCACAUGAAGGAGACUGGAGAAAAGUACGAAAAGCAAAUCCCCACUGAGAGUCCAACCUAGACAAAAGGGAACCAUAUAAGGACUGCAGGGUCUACCACUACACACAAAUCAGGGUCCAUCAUUACGUGCAAGUUACUGUGUCUUAUCAGCCACUAUUAUGAUGUGAUAUCAUGUAAAUGCAGCAGAACUUUUUCUUCAGUGAAAUUUGGAGUGACCCAAAUCAACAUGACAAUCUUUGUGAAAGGAAAACUGCAGCAAAAUGUGUGGCCAUAAUGACUUCUUUACUUUCCAAUUCCCAUUUUGAAGCAUAACAGCCCUAGCAAUAUCCCUUUAAUCAAUAGACAUCAAAAUAACAACAUUCAUGUACUUUAGUGCUUGCAGUUUAAGAAAAAUACCAACAAUGAGUUCACACUUGGAAAGUAUAUAUAUACCAACCAUGGAUGGAUCAACAAGAUAUGUACAGAUACACAUACCAAAGUAGAUUUUUGCCAUAAAAUCAAUGCCUUGAGAUAGGCACCAAACCAGAAAACAUAUGCUCAUCUAUUAACUCUACCAUUAUGACUACCAUUUCACAUUUGACAAAGUAGUUCAGACAGAAGGGGAAAAGGAGUAAAAGAUUAUUACCAAGGGUCAAGCAUUCGAGAGGUUUCUGAAAGAACUGUCCAAAUAGGUAGAUCGGCUCUUCAAGUGACUUUAGUUCCAAGGAGUUCAACGAAUUGAAGAUCUAACCAUUAUAUACAACUUUUAAAGGUAAGUCAUGGGUCACAAGAAAAGAUCAAACUGCUACAUGAAGUUGCAGUCCUGUGAUUCAGAGCAGACCUUCCAACAGUCACCAUAGAAUUGCUGGGUUCCUUCCUUUUCAUGUGGAAAUUUACUGGUAAGUUCUGCAAUGAAAUCACUGUAUUCUCUAUGUACUCGGACAGAAAGGUCAUUUGGUAGAUGGAAAUGAACAGUAGUAGGAUCAGGUAUGACCUGCAUCUCACAACCAACUGCUGCCAAUGCUUGAGUUAUCAAAUUUAAAUUGCCCUGUCCAGAUUUGAGGCAAGCACUGAUUUUGAAGGCAAAAGCAGAUAUAAAGAAAAGCAUUGACAAUGAAAAGAAAAGAUGUUGUUAACCUGAAAUUUCAACAUUCCAAAUACGUAACAAACGAAAGCAAUUCAACAGUAAGAAACAUACAUCUCCUUACAAUCGAAGUGAAAUAUGAUAUAGAAAAGCAGCCACAAUAUGCAGGCUUUAGGUGUCUUUCCAUGAGCUUUACUCACAUAACAUAAGUUUCCACAUACAAUAUAUUUUAACUCCUCUCCAUUUCUUGUUUCUUUUUGCUUCAAAAUAUCCAAUUGAUACCCCACAGUUGAAAGGUAUUUGACUCCAAAAAAAAAGAACAAAAAGGAAAAGCAUCUGACAUCAAAAUUCUUUUUCCCUAAGCUAGGCUUCAGCUAUUAGGUGGUGGGCUUAUAUUCCUGUCUUCUUUGUAUAGAAAGUUAAUCAAGAUAUAAGAUCCAUUCACCUGUAACUAUAUAUAUAUACUAAUGUGCAUGAUUUGAUUCACUGAUUAGAAAAAUGAGCAGAUUAGGAACUUUAGCUAUAAAAAGUUGGAAUGCACAAGUAAAUGAUAUGGAAAAAAAUUGACGAGUAGUAUCUAUAUAUACCAUACAGAAAUACUGAUUCACAGUCCUGUCUAAUCACUGGAUGGCACCUUCAACAGCCACUUUGUAAUAUCAGACCAUUCUUCUGUAUUGUCGUGUUCACUGAGAAUUGGAAAAACACCCCUGACAACCUUUAUGACAAUGAGAAAUAGGAGUCCUAGUUCAAAAUUUUGAUGUGCUUUCUUUUACAAACAUGAUCCGGCCUUGACAACCACUGCACUGAAGUGAUGAGGUGAAAGGUCUAAAACCUUUGUAUGACGGUACUAAAGAUCUAGUUUUAAAUGCUUAGACUCCCAAAAAAAGGCAGAUUAAGCUACUAAAAGUAGUCUACCCUCUUAGAGUUUUAGAGAGUUAUUUCAGAGCACUUUCUUCUCGAGGUGUGUAAGACUUGCAUAUCAUAAAAGGCAACUAACAUCAACGUAAUUAUACUUCAUACUUUUCUAUAUCUUAUCUGAUUAAAUUUUUGGAAUUAUCGAUCCAAAUCAACUAUUCAUUCAACUUAUCAUACUCCCAUUUCAAAAUUGGUCAAACCAUCAUAAUCUUUCUAAUACCAAAAGCAAACGGCAAUCAACACCUUUAACAAAUAUGAAAAAAUUAAUAGUUAAUGAACAACAAGAACUGACCUUAUCACUGAACCCAAACAUGACAGAAGACCCUACAUCAAAAGUGUACCCAUCUCUCUCAUAAUACCCAGAGCUCCCACCUGGAAUCACAUAUUUCUCCAAUACCAAAACCCUAGCUCCCUUAACUGCAAGUUGUGUAGCUGCAACCAACCCUCCAAUCCCUGACCCAAUAACAAUUGCAUCAUAGUAAUCUUCCCUACCAGACCCUUCACUUUUCUCUGUCUCUGCACUCAAGACGGAACCUGACCUCAUAACAUAUUCCGAAUACCCUAAUUUGACAUUCACACCACCGAGCUUAUAACCAUCCGAAACUGAGGUUUUCAGUGGAUCACAAAAACGAAAACUCCUUUCCACAUUUCUGGGUACGAAAUUUCUCGGCUGUUUCUGACUGUAGCCCCCCAAAUUCAACCGGUGAUCAUCGAAAACAAAAGGUUUAACAUGUUCAAUAGAGUGAGUUCUGAGUUUUUGACUUCCACGUAUUGAAUUGCCCAACUGACUACCACCGCAACCAAAUAACUGAGAACUGUCAAACCCUACUGCCAUUCCACUGAGCUGAGCAGACAGAAAUCUUCCUUUUUCAUUCCAGGGUAUUCGAUAACUGAGCUGGGUGGUUAUUGGGGUAUUCCCGACUUUUGCCGGGAGAAAAGAUAAACCCAAUUCCACCAUGGAAAGUGAGAACCACCACUGUCAAUUUUUGCUAUCGAGGAUAGAAACAAGGUUGCUAAUUUGGUUUUGAACGCGGAAUUGCUAUUGUCUAAGUGAGUGUAUAAUGAUUCCAAGCCAUGAUUCUAGCUUCAGAAGGUGAAACAAGACAAAAUGUGGCAAUAUGUUAUUUUACUAUUUCCUUCCAAAGCCAUUUUUCAUUUGGGAUAAAUUUCAACCAGUUGGCCGUUGGUUUUGGUGGAGGGAGUUCGAGAGAGAAAGUAUUGCGUUACCUUGCGGUGAUGGAUAGAUCUCACGGCCGAAUCUUAUUAGUGGGCCUUGUAAGACACGGCCCACUAAUAAGAAUAUUAUCCUUGUUUUUGGUUAAUUUAUUUACUAAUUUUUCUUUGGGUAAACAUGAGACAAAUUAACUAUUUAUUAAUCAAAAAAAUUUCCCUUGUAACAAAAACAUUCAAAAUUUCCCUACCAUUAAAUAUAAUAAUAAUAUAUUUGAAAUUUUUUUAUAUUUAAUUUUUUAUAAAUUAAAUAACCAAAAUACGUAUUUAUUUUAUUGGGUACUAUAAAUAAAAUAUUCAAAAUAAAUAAAAUUAUUAAAAACAAUCUAAACCCUCUAUCUUUUCGUAUUUUUACCAAACUAUAAAAUAAAAUAUGACUCGUAUGAUUAAAUUUUAUUAAAUUAAUCUAUUUAUUUUAAUUAUUUUGUUCAUUUUUAUUGAAAUUAUAUCAUACAAACAUUAAAAAUUAAUUGAAAAUUUUAUUUGAAAAUUUAAAUUAUUGAAGCUCUAGCUUAAGUGUCUCCCAUUCAAUGAUUAUAUUACAACUAUUCUACAUGGUCAUUUGUAAUUCAUAAUUUUUUAUUUUUUUAGAAAAAAUUAUUUUUACCAUAAUUUAGUAAUGAUUCCAUUGGGAAUAUUAAUGGAGUAGGGAAUAUCCUAUCUUUUAUACGUACUAAAAUUUUAUUUUUUAUUUAUUAAAUUUUUUUGUCUAUAAUUUUAUAAAAAAAUAGAAUAAUUUUUUUUAAAUAAUUUUUAUUUUCUAAAUAUAAAUUAAAUUAAGCUAUAAACAAAACUAAUUUUCUCAAUAUAACUCAAUAAGAUUAUUUUUAAAAAAUAAAUAUACGAAAUGUUUAAUAUAAUACAGAUAAUAAUAUAUAAAAAUAUUUUUUAAAAAACUAUUUUAUUUAUAUAAACAAAAUAAUUAGACAGAAGAUAAGAUGACGACCAUUUUUUCAUAUUUAUUGUAUGUUUAAUCAAAUCGUAAAAUUAUUGACCUUAUAAUUUAAAGUUAAAUUAAAUAUUGAUUUUAUUAUUACAAAAAAAUUUGUUGGAUCUAUGUGCAAUUAUAGAUGAAAUUAUCAUUCCAUAUAUGAUUAAUUUCUAUAAUCAAGAUUUAUUUGAAGAAUACACAUUACUAUGCGAAAAUUUCAAAUAGAACUUUAUGGUUUACUCACAACAAUAUUUUUUCAAAGUGUAAUUAAUAAUAAAUUAAUCAUUAAAUUAUGGAUUUCAUUAUUAAAAUCAUAAUUAUCGUUGAAUAAUUCAAUUCUAGAUAUGCCAAAAUUAACCAAUAGAAAUUCUUAGAUUGCAUUUUAACAAACUUAAAAUUUGUAUAAAUUUUAUUUACAAAUCAAUAUUUAGUUUAAUGUAAAUUUCUAUAUGAAAUAAUAAAAUGCAAUGAUAUAAAAAAUCAUAAUUUUAUCAAUUUAAAAUUCUUUUUUUUUUUAAAUUAAGAGAUAAUUUAUUACAUCAUUGUUGUACUAAUAAACAAAUUUUACUAUAUUUUCAAAUUUAUUUAAGUAUAUUAUUGAUAAAUUACUCCAUAUUUAGGUUUAAUUCAAAUUCAAAUUUAAAUUCAAUAAAAUUAGAAUGAGAAACAAAAUAAUUUGAAUGUCAAUAAAUUUAUUCCCCGAAUAAUUUUAUUUUGGCGACGAACAUCCAAAAGAAUAUGCCGGAUUUCUUUUUUCCGUCACUAAAAAUUAUUCCGUCCGUCUCCACUACUUUAGUUCCUCCCGUCAAUCAAACGGACCGGACUAUCUCAACAUUCUCAGAUGCCGGGCUCCACGUCUCCGCUUAAGUGGGUCCCACUUAAAUACGUGGACCAAUAAUAUUUCGACAACUCAGGAGUGUGCACUACUCCAGUUUCAGUCUUUUUGUGCUCCAAUGGCUAUUAUACGCCUUCUCCUUCUCUCUCCCGCUGAUGCCCUUUUCAUUUCACAAAAGAAGCGCCAACGAAUUUGGAUCCAAUUGCUUUAUGAAUUUACUAAAUUUUAAAUAAGUAUUUUUGUUUUUCUAUUUAAUUUUUAAAUAUUAUCGGAUCGAAUAUCUUCAUCUUCUUCAUAAAUUCUGAAGCACAAAAAAUAUUGAACGGCCACGAGUUGCCUUUUCCAUUAUCCUGUCGCUGUUUAGUUCGGUAUUUCCACUUUUCUUUUUGUUAUAAUCUUGCGUUGGUUUCACUUUAAUCGUAAUCACUGUAAUUCAUUUUGGUUGCUCUACUUCCCCAACUUGAUUAAGGUUUUCUCACAUUUGGUGAUUCUUCUUCUUCUUAUUCCUUUUUUUCUUCGGAAUUUCAGGUCUGAUUUCAUAGAGGCCAAGUAUUUUGAGUUAUUCAGGUAAUAUAUUAAACUUUCUUUUUCUUUCAAAUCGACUUUGGUUGUUAUUAUUUUCAUACUCGUUUUACCUGUUUAGUUGUCGAGAAAAUGUCGGAAAUGGAAGCCAGGAUUGACACUAUUUUAGGGGUGUGGGGUCGGGGUGGUGAAAUUGACUCUUGUUUGUUUGAAUUUUGGAAAAUUUUCUGUUUGAUCGUCUGUCAAGCUAUCGAACUUCUUCCCUCAACUGGGCUUUUUUGUUUAUUUUGUAAUUUUGAGAUUCCGGGAUGAUUGAUCAAUUAACCUUUGCAUUGUUGUUUUGUUGGACGUUAGAGAAUUUGGUUUUGUCUUGGAAUACCAGAAUAACUUAGUUAUGUGCUUAGCUUGGAAAAGUUAGUGUGAAGUCUGAACCAUCUGAUCUCAAGGGUGAUUAAAACAAACCCACAACCAAGUCUUUCUCAUACAUCUUUUACUAAUUAAUACUGGGGAUCUUUUCCAUUUACUAAUCACCUAUCUUACUUUGUUUAAGAUAAUAUCAUCUGAAAUAGGUAUCCCUAUUCUUUGUGUUAAUCAUUCCUAUAAUUAUUCAUAUUUGCAAUAUAAAGGAUUCGCGUGGUGAUAGAGUGAUCNNNNNNNNNNNNNNNNNNNNNNNNNNNNNNNNNNNNNNNNNNNNNNNNNNNNNNNNNNNNNNNNNNNNNNNNNNNNNNNNNNNNNNNNNNNNNNNNNNNNNNNNNNNNNNNNNNNNNNNNNNNNNNNNNNNNNNNNNNNNNNNNNNNNNNNNNNNNNNNNNNNNNNNNNNNNNNNNNNNNNNNNNNNNNNNNNNNNNNNNNNNNNNNNNNNNNNNNNNNNNNNNNNNNNNNNNNNNNNNNNNNNNNNNNNNNNNNNNNNNNNNNNNNNNNNNNNNNNNNNNNNNNNNNNNNNNNNNNNNNNNNNNNNNNNNNNNNNNNNNNNNNNNNNNNNNNNNNNNNNNNNNNNNNNNNNNNNNNNNNNNNNNNNNNNNNNNNNNNNNNNNNNNNNNNNNNNNNNNNNNNNNNNNNNNNNNNNNNNNNNNNNNNNNNNNNNNNNNNNNNNNNNNNNNNNNNNNNNNNNNNNNNNNNNNNNNNNNNNNNNNNNNNNNNNNNNNNNNNNNNNNNNNNNNNNNNNNNNNNNNNNNNNNNNNNNNNNNNNNNNNNNNNNNNNNNNNNNNNNNNNNNNNNNNNNNNNNNNNNUAAAGGUAACCCAAAAAUAUUCCAUGCAACAGAGAGGUGUGCCUCCGGAAUCAUACAAGCUAUUGGCCAUUUCAAGCUAGGUCCUAACCUUUCUCCAAGAGAUGUUCCUAACUUUAUGAAGUCCAAGCUAGAGAAUGUUAAUCCGGGUCAUGAGGUGGUGAAAUUUUACUUAUUUUAUGAGAGGUGGAGGCGAGGAGAAGUUGAGAAUUGUGAGACAUUUUUGGCAAGUCUGAAGGCUUCUUGUGUAUGUCAAAUAUCCUCUUCUCCUUUUUAUAUUGUGGUUUUAGCAACUUUUUCCAUACUACUCUUCUGGGGGAACAUCUCCAUUCAUUCCACCUGCUUAGUUAGCAAAUAGGUAGAUCUAUGACUUGAUCUAUCGGCCAAUUUUGUAGUCACUUGAUGAGGAUUCUUUUUUUACUCAAGCUUUUCGUAGUAUUGGAAAGAAAAAUUUUCAGAUACAGAGCUGAUGUUAUUUGAAUUUGCGAUGACUCGAUGCUCACUUAUCUACAUCAGUAAAUAGCUUUCAAAAGCAAGUGGAUUAAGAGUUGCAUCUCUUUUGUCCCAGUUUACCCUAUAUCUUCUGAUUUUUUGCUAAUAAUCCAAAAAUCAACCUUUGGUAUCUCUCCCCAACCCUUUCUUAGAGCCAAUGCCCUUGGCAAAUUUAUUUGAUAGCUGAAGCACUAUUUGAUCAACUUGUAACAGUAAUUUCUCUGAUUUUUUUCUUAAAUUCCGAAUUUAGUGCUUCAAGUGAGAGGAUUAUGUUUGUAACACCCCGUUUUUUUUUUCUUAACGGUGUACGAUAAAGCACCCAUACAACACAAUACCGAAAUCCAUAUUAUUCCAACCAUGCACAAGAGAAAUUUAUCCACCUUCCAUGUUCCAAAUCAAUUGUACAUACAUCUCCACCUCUACAACACAUAGUAAUACAAUACCAAACAUUCCUAGAUAUUCAAUAUCCAGACUAAACCAUCCUUUCAAACUACUUUAAAUCACAAACAAAACUUGUGCCCUAUGGCACUACCGACGGGGCUCCGUUACCAGCCGCUCGGAUCCCAAUUCCGUCCUUACUCCACCUGUGAAUGAUGAGAAGUGAGUUCACAUAACUCAAUACGAUAAAAAUCAAGUUGUAAGUGUAAUAUGCAGUGACAAGAAUUUCCAGAAAUGUCUAUAUGCAUUUAUCCUACCCAACCCCAAACAACUCAUAACCCUCUCCCUACACUAAUUAUCAAGGUCCCAUUCCAAGGCAAUAGCACGGCCAAACAACCCCACCCACCCAACAAUCAUCCACUAACUCUCGUCACCAACAUCGGCGACUCAUACACUCUUCCCCCAUCUCCCGACCUCACGAGGCCACACACACACACACCCAACCACCUUCAUUCCACGUCACCAAUAUCGGCGACUCACACCUAUAUCUCCACCUCUCGACCUAAUAGGCCACGCACACACCCACACACCAUUAUUCCGCGUCACCAACAUCGGCGACUCACACUCACUCCUCCACCUCUCGACCUAAAGAGGCCACACACACACACAAAUACCAUCGUCUCGCGUCACCAACAUCGGCGACUCAUACUCACUCCACCUCUCGACCUAAAGAGGCCACACACACACACAAAUACCAUCCUCUCGCGUCACCAACAUCGGCGACUCAUACUCACUCCUCCAUCUCUCGACCUCGUUGGGCCACGCACACACACAAACAUUUCCACCUCCCGUCACCACCAUCCGUGACUCAUGCACCCUUCUACCCCUCUCGGCCUUGCUAGGCCACACUCACAUACAUAUCCCCUCCCUGCUCCACCAACAUCGGCAACUCAACCCGCCCCUACCAACGGCCUCCAAAUCUCCCCUCCCAAACCGCAUGCUCCCAUCUCCCCUUAUACCAUGCUAGUCCCAAACAUUCUAACUUGCUAACUCCUACUGACCACAUUACUCCUCUUCUCCCAUCCAAUCCCCCUCAAAUCCUGCUUCCUAGUCCCCUCUGCCGUACCUUCCAGCUCCCUUCCCUCUCCCACUGCCCCCUACCCGCUACCUCCCCCAUCCUCCUGCCUCCUCCCGGUUCCUAUACACUUUUGCCUACCUAGGGCGAUUAACCUCUCAGCUUGCACCGUUUCACGCCACAUACACGCCCUCACCACCGUGCAUUUCGGGGAAACACAUCACCGCCUAUUAGCGGCUCCCUCCACAUCCCCACCCACGCACACACCACACACACACCUCUUCUGUCCUCUUCGAGUUUUUAUCCCACCCGCGCCCCCUAGAUUGUUCUCUCACAUCCUCCUCACUCUGUUCUACCCGUACCACCCCCAUCCUUCCCCACGGCUCCCCACACGCCUCCCACACCGCCAUACUUUCCCUUCCUUCCCCGAUCACCUCCGUGAGCGCACGGGACAACCCCACGCUUACGGCCUGCCUUCACUGCUCCACUCCGCCGCGCCAUUGCCGACGCCGCAACCUGCAACCAAAUUUCUCUACACACACACACCACACCAAACAACUCAAAUUUUCACCGUACCUCCCGUUUCCAUCUUCCUUCUUCCUGCCGGUCGCGUCGUCCGUCCACGGCCUCCUUCCCUCUCCCUUCUCGCUCCCCUCCGCCCCGACUCUCUCCUCUCUCCUUCUGGAACUUUCCUCUUCUUCUUCGUCUCCGCUGUCCUCCUUCCCUCCUUUUCUCUUUUUCUCUUUUUCCUUUUCUUUCUUUUUUUUUUUUUCUUUUCUCCUUUUUUCCUUCUCCCUUUCCCGACCUCCUUUUAUACUCUGCCAGCCUACCCCAAAACGACGUCGUUUUUCUUUCUUUCAAAACGACGUCGUUUUUCCCCUCUCUAAAACGACGUCGUUUUUAUUAUUAUUACUUUUUUUUUUUUUUUUCCUUCUAUUCUUUCUACUUUCUAGUCCUUACAAUGUUAUUUCUUUUUUCUUUUCCAUCUUACUAAAAAUCUGCGGUAUUAAAUCAAUUCAUGUUCUCCUGGCUAAUUAGAUUGUUUCUUUGUGCUUAUGAUUUUUAGGAUCCUUCUGGUGUUCUCAUCCAUCCUUCUGGUGUUGAGAAAUCCCUUCAUGACUGCAUAAAUGAAAUAAGAAAAUGCUACGGAGAUAAACAGGGUAAACAAUUUCGGGUUUGGGUAGAUCAGGUGCUGCCAACAGAGAUCAGUCCUGGCACAUUGGUUGUAAAGUUUGAUAAAUGGGAGUUAUGCGGUGAGUCUUUUACUCUCAUACUUAUCCUUCGCAAGGGGACUGCAUUUUCUUCAUCUAUAUAUAUAUAUAUAUAUAUAUAUGAAAUUUACUACAUUUUGUCUAGUCAAUUUUAUAAAAUCCGGAUGGAUUCAAUCUCAUCAAGAAUUUGAAUUACAUGGCACAAGAAAGCAGCAAAUACAAUCAUAUUAUAUUAGUAGCUUCCUCAUUUCUUCUAACACUUUUUAUCAUGAUGGCUACAAUGAGCAAGUUAUCUAUGUAAUAUUUUCUAAUGCUCACAUCUCGCUUUCUCUGUAGGGGAGGAGCGGAAAUGCUGCAAAAACACUUCUAAAUUCAGCUCAAUGGUAUAUGAUUAGACACUGAUGUCGUAUAUUAUUUUCUAAUUUUCUAUCUCUGAAGAUGUGAUAAUCAAUAUUCGGGUUUCAGGAAUCUGGAGCUCCAGACGAGUUUACAUGGCAGCAUGUGCACCAGACUUGGUCAGAAGAAUCAGGGGUAAAAGAUAAUUCAACUUGGAUCCUCUAAAUUGUGUCCUAAAAUUCUCAACUCCAAACUCCAUAAUUUUUGUAAAACAAUAAAGGAUAUCUCUGAUAACAUCCGCUAUAAAUAGGAAGAGGAGGGAGUCCCCUUGCUCUGUCAUGUUUGGUAGAGCAUAAUAAGUUUGAAACUGUCAUUAAUCCGAUCAGUUUUUCCCGCAGAUAGGUUAGCAGCAUCUUACUUUCGAAAGUUAUGUCGAUUGAAUCCUCUUGCAUUAGGUACGCUGUUCACUGUUAUGGUAUGCAGGUUUCGAGACUUCGAAUUUCUUUUAUUCAAUUACCAAUGGUAUGGGAGAUAGGGAGUUGGUAAAUAUGAUAAAAUCUAAUCGAAAUUUUAUAUUUUUGUUUUAACUCGAUAUUGUGCAUUUGGUACUAGUAGUAUAAAGUUUUUUUUUUUUUCGGAUAAUACAAUCUCGUAACAAAUAUAUACAUAUGCAUAAGGCAUAGGUCGGGAUUUGAGAAACAGAGCAAUUGAUGUUUUCAAGCAUGAUGGCACAGCAGCAUUUUUUAUCUUUUCAAACAUUUAUGUCAUGGAAAGUUUGGGCUGCUGGACUAAAAUUAUUAAAGCACAAAAGCAUAUGAUAGUAUGAACAUUUAAAUCUUUUCAAACAUUUAUGUUAUGGAAAAGCAUGUUUAUUUCAUAAGCAAUUUGACCCAUGCAAUUUACUUUGAAACUCAUUUUCAAGACUAAGAAGGAAGUAUAUAUAUAUAUAUAUAUAUAUUUGUCAAAUAAGAUAAACCCUUAUCUCAACUUUCUCAAUAGAUACAGUUCAUACUCACAUGUACACUAUAAUAUAUAUAUAUAUAUAUUUAUUUAUUGAUAACAUCAUGUGCAUUAUAUUUUUUUUAUGUAAGACCAUGUGCCUUCUUCACAUGCAUUAUAUUAAUGGUUUAAAUUUGUACUGGUUUUAUCAUUAUUAUUCACAGAAAUAUUGAAUUUUAUUAUUAUUAUUAUUUAUGGAAUGAAUUAAUCUCGAAUUAAUAAAUUUUUAAUUUAUAAUGAAAUGUUUUAUUACUGGGCUAUGAACGAUUUUUCGACGAUAAAUUUAUUAUUAUCAAUUUAUUUAUGUAAGACCGAUAAAAAAUAUUAAAUUUAAUUGUGUAUUGUAAAUAUUUAAAUUAAAUGUAAAAUAUUUAAAAAAUAUGGUAUGAAUUUAGAAAUUAAAACUCUUUUCGGCAUUUUUUUGAAAUUUUUAUUUACACAUAAAUACAAUAUUUACGUAUAUCUCAAAUGUAAGUGCAAUUUUUUAUUUACAUUUCAAGUACAAUAUAUUUUAAAAGUUAAUUUUGGAUGUAACCAAACAUGGUCUUAGCAUUCCCAAAUCUCCGUUCUAGUUAUACCUAUGGCCGCCCUUAGCCCACAAAAACAAUAAUAACGGAAAACGUUGCUUGCACGCUCAAAUCGUACCCUACCCCGUUCGCUCUUCCCACGUGGCAAACUCUUCUAUCAUAAACUCGACACGUGUGGAUAAUCCAUAAAUUAACACUCAUGAAAGUUUGGAGUCUUAUUUAUUUAUUUAUCAUUUAAAAAUUCAAAAUUCCAAAUCCAAAUCUCACGCACUCUCCGCUCGCUAUUUCUGUCUCUCUCUCUCUCUCGAACAAGAUCUCCAUUGCCGGAGAAUUGAAGAAGAAAAGGAAAUAGAUCUGAUCUGAAAUGGGUCUAAGGAUCGUCUACGGCGUCGUAUUUCUUUCCUUCUCGUGCUGCUGCUUCAAGCUCCUCCAUCUUGCUCUUCAUCCCAUCUUCUACUUCACCUCCUGAAAAUGAAGAAGCCAAAAUGGUUCAUCUCUUCUCUUCUCUCUCUUUCUGUAAUUCCUUUUUUUUUUUUUUUUAACUUCUAUAGAUCUUCGAUUAUGAUGGCAUAGUGUAUCGAAUCUGUUAUAUAGAUAUAUAUAUGUACUGUUUGGUUGUAAUUUGAAACCUCAGUACUUCGUUCUAUAAAAUAUUAUACUACUAUUUUAUUAAGUCCGAUUUCUUGCUCUGAAGUUGCGUGAUUAGAUCGUGCGAAUUUCAACUAUAUAUUAUAUUAUUAUAUUGCUGAUGAUUAGACCUAGUGAGAUCAGGAUUCAGGACUGUUUUCGUAUUGUUGCUGUAAUUACAGAAUGAACCCUAGACUACGUGAAGUAUCCCUAAAAUUAGUUUGUCUUAUUUUAUUCUCAUUUGUGCAUUAAUUAUUUACAAUUCUAUAGAAAACAAAAAUGACUAUUUCAGAUUUUAAUACAAAAAUAGUUCCUGUACUUGCUUGCGGAUUACAAAUUCACGCUUCAUCAAUAGAAAACCAAUUACUUUCAUUUAUUAUGCACUAACUAUAAUAUUUUAUUUAAUUGGGAUCAAAGCAUAAUUCAUUAAUGUAAUAGUAAAAUUUUGAUAACGAAUUUGAAUUUUUUUCAAACGAGUCAUGAGGUUCUUUUUUAAAAUACACACACACACACACACACACACUACAUAGUCAUGUAAUAUUCCAUUUCUUCCAGUUUCGUUUUUAGACUAAGCUUAUUUAUGAUCUAUAUAUAUAAACACAAUUCAAUUCUCAACAUCACUCAAUUAAUCAAAUCCUAAAUAUUUGAUUAUGAAAUCUUCACUAUUCUUUUUGCUAAAUGUUUCUAGUUACCCUGGAGAAAUUUCCCAGAUUUGUUUUAUGCUCGAAUGCUCUUUGAUUUUCUUUUGAGACCUUGUCUCAGUUUUCUUUUCCCACUAAUUUCUUGAAAAUAUUCUUGUAAUAACUUAUAAAUUACCAACACUAUUAAGCUCUACAUCAAUUCACAAAUAUACUAAUUUGAAUGUUUUUAAUUCUUUAGCACCACAUACAAUAAUCUUGUGAAUUUAUUAUUAUUUUUAAAUAAUAUAUAUAUAUAUAUUUAUUAAUUAAAUUAUACAUAUAUUUUUUAAUUAAAUGAUAAAUUCUUGUUAGUUGGUACAUACAACAUCAAUUCAACUAUAAAAUUAGUUGUUCACAAUAACUAAUUCAAUUAACCAACAACACAAUUUUUUGCGGUUAAAACUUUUUUAUUCCAUAAAUUUGAGUUUUAAUAAAAAUGUAGAGUUCGUCAUUUUAUAAUACUCUGAUUCAUUAAAACUGAUGGUUUAAUUUAUUAAUUUUUUAAUAAAAUUAUGUCAGGAUGUACGAAUUUAUUAUAUUUUUAAAUAAAAAAAUAUUUUAUAAUUAUUAAAUUUUUUUAAUUAAAAUAUAUAUUUUUCGUAACUUAGUUUUGUUUCUCUGUGUCAAAAUCAUUCUCAGUCACUCUUCUCUUUGGGGAAUUCCAAAGGACCUUAAAUCUCUCCCACAAAAUAAUAAAAUACUUUCCACGUUUUAUGUAGUGAUAGUGAAUGGAUAUACAAAUAAUAUAUGUUUCCCGUUAAUUUAAUAAUUUAAAUUUGUGAAAAUAAAAGGCAUGAUAAAUAAUUGUAGAAAUAAUAAUUAUUAAAAAAAAUAAAAACUUAAAUUUUUAAUUAAAAAAUAAAAUUAUUUCUAAAAUAUAUUUACAUGGUAAUUUUUAAGAUUAAAUAUAUUAAAAUUUUCAUUGAUUUUUAAAUUUUUUAUUUUUAUUUUUUUAAACCGACGACGUAGGGAAACCGUUGUGGAAGUUACGAGGAAAGGGAGAGAGAGGCUAAAAUCGUCAAAUUAACGAAACUUAACUACCGCUUGGUUCUCUUCAGUUGUUCUUAAAAGCGCCGUAGCAGUUCAUCUCACGUCCGUUUAACGGAACGUUUCGUUACAUCUUCGAAUUGACCGUUUUAUCCUCUCCGUUUUCCAACCAUCAUUAAAACUUCAACUUACCUCGAAAGUCGACUUUUUUUUUUUUGUAAUAAAAAAUAUAUUUGAUUAUUUAAAUUUGGUAUAUGUAUAUUUUAAAAAUACGAAUUGUUUAUAAAUAAAAAUAUAAAUUAUUUUAUUGUGCUAUUAGUCUUAUUUUUUAAUUAAAAAUUUUCAAGAUCCAAUAAUAUCGAGGUCAAAUUAUACAGUCUCGUCUUAUUAUUAUUAUUAUUGUUAAAAACGAUCCUCCUUAAUUAAUUAAUGUUAACAUAUCAAAUUAAAAAAAUUAUAUUAUCUAUAAAUGACAAAUUUAUGUCAAACCCAUGAGUUUUGAAUGGGUUUUUUUAAUAUAUGUAAAUUAUUAAUGGUUUUUUUUUAAUUAUAAAUAAUUAAUUUUUUCAUAAAUAAUUAAUUUUUUCAUAAAAUCCAUAAUAAAAUAUUUUUUAAUAUUUUUAAAUUAUAAAAAAAUGAAAUCAUUUUAAAAUUAAACAAACUCACUGGCCAUACAUGAAUUAUUAGUGAUGACAUAUAAGAUUUUGUCAUAUUAUUUUUUUUAAUUUAUUUUCUGUUCCAUAAAAACAGAAAAAGUCCAAUUAAUUAAUAAUUAAUGUCAUUUUUCAUAGUCUUUAAUAAGAACACGAAAUCCCUUAUUUAUCAAUAUAUACAAUGUAUGUUAAUUAGACCAAUUAAGUUGUCUAAGAAAGUUUAAUCAAUCAUUUAUUAAAAAAAAACAUAAAAUUCAAUUAAUUACUAAAAGAAAAUUAAAUUAAACAAAAAAAGAUUUCUUAUAAUUUUAUGAAUCCUCCCAUUACAAUGUAUACUUUACUUAAUUAUAUUUUUAAAACAUUUAAAAUUAAAAAUUAAGUAAAAAAAUAUUUAAAUUUAUAAAAUUAUCAAUUCGAGUUUGAAUCACUUUAAUGAAUCUACAAAGAUUGAUUAAUUAUAAAUUUUUUGAAAAUGUAUAUAUAUUAAAAUUUAAUUUUUUUUAAAAAAAAAAAUAGGAAAACAACAAAACAAUGCUAUCACUAAUAUUUCCUAAAUUGACAUAAUCAUUAAGAAAUUAAAAAAUAAUUAAUUAAAGUAAAACUUGGGUAAUUAGUAAUGAUUAUAAAAUAAUUUAUUGGGUAAUCAAAAAAGGUGAUGAUGAUGAUGACGACGACCAUAAAAUAGAAUCUGCAAUGAAAUCCAACCAUUUAAUUUUCAGGAUACAUGCAUGCAUGUAAUGAAAAACUAAAUUUGUUAAACUGAAAAACUAUUAUAGUAAAUUACAAAACUUCCCAUUUUAAGAUAUAUUUUUAAAUUAUCUAUUUUUGAAUUUUUAUUUUAUGGGUCUCUCUAAAAAUUACAAUUUCUCAAAUAAAAUAUGUAUAUAUAUACAUAUAGGUAUAUACUUGGGGGAUCGUGAUGUGUCGUUUGAUAAUCCAAGUAAGUCAAAGAAGUGGCUAUAUAAAAAUCAAUGGUGAUAGUAUAAAUAAGGUGGAAGGUCCUAAUUUUAAUUCAAUGUUUGUAGAAACCGUCCAUUUCUAAUUGCCUUCUUUCCCAUAUUACCUAAUCUUCUCUUUCAGUUGUUAUUCUCUUCUUCCUCUUCUCCAUAUAUCCAUCCAUAUAUACGUAUACUCUCUCCUUAUAUAUAAACCCUAAUUAAACCAUGUUCAAUCUCUUCUCUCCUCCUCCUCUUCUUCUUCUUCUUCUUCUUCUUCACUUAUCCGAUUCCCCCACGUUCUUGUCCAUACAUAUAUUUUUCUAGCCUCAGUUGAUGAUCAUCCCAAUCACUAUCUACAUAGAUAUAUUUGCAGAAAGGAUCAGAAAGAUUUUUGUAGAGAUAAUCAUGGAGAACUCAAUGGGAUUCAUGGCGGUUUUUGCAGUUUCAGGAGGUGUAGUUUUGCUUGCAAGACAAGCCCACAGACGUCUUCUCUCUGAGUUCAUGAAGAAGAUUGAAUUCGAAUUGGGUGGUAAUUGUUAUUAUUUUUUCUCUUUUCCUUUACAUUUCUUCUAAUUAUUAAUCAAUCAAAAAAGAAAAAUCUCCCUUUAAUUUUUUUAAUUUUUUAUACCAAAUGCAAUUUUAUUUAUUAUAUUUUUUUUCUUACAACUUUUUAGGAUCUAACAAGUCUUGUCACCAAAAUCAAGUCAAGAAAAAGGUUAGGUUUGCGGACGACGUGAUCGAUCCGUCGUCCAACAAUAAAAAGUAUCGUAAAAAAUAUUUGACAAAGUCCGUAAACGGUAACAACAACAACAACAACAACAUGAACAACGGUGACAAAUGGAAAUGUAUGGAUUCAAUGCCAGUCAACAGGCAAAUUUUGUACAAAGGGAUCAUGGAGUACAAGAUUCUCAAAGGUCUCGCUUGAGAAAACUAUUAUUCUGAUUGUAAAAUAUUUUAAAUUUUUGGGUUAAAUUGGAAUUUUGGAGAGUGUUUGUAUAAUAAUUAGCUCUCAGUCAAUACUGUAUUUGCUUUUUGGGAUUUUAGUUUCAUUUCUUCUGUGUAAGUAAAUAAAUAAAUGAAGAAAUCUGAUCUUGUUUAUGGGUUUGGUGUAAAUUUUGAUUAUUUUUAUUUUUAGUGUUAAGUUUGACUUUUAUUAUGAUUAUUAUUAAGACUUCAUUAGUAAUUAAUUGUUAUCAUUAUAUGAUUAUUAAUGUAUAAUACUAAUCUAUUGGCCAUUCACACUGUAAUUAAUGACCGCAUGAACUGUCUACGAAUCAAGACAAGAUAAUUAAGGUGGUCAAUCUUCAAAUAAGCCAAACAAGAAUCUGAUUUUCCAUUUUAAAACAAGUUGUGGUGUUGGUAGAACCGCAGAAUACAGCUGGUAUAUAGCAUAUAUACAUAUAUAUAUGUAUGUGUACGUAUGUAUACAUUAUGAGCUGACAAUUUUGGGAGGAAAAAUAAAUAGAUAUGCCAAAGUGGGAGAAGGAAAUAAAAAUUAGUAGUAAAUAAAGAAAGUGGGUAAAGAUAAUCUUCAAAUUGUUUAGACCGCAUGGAAUUAUUCUCAAACAAAUCAUUAAUAAUACUUGAUAAUUAAGAAAAUAAUAAUAAUAAUAAUAAUAAAGUUUAAAAUUUUAAAAUGUGAUAUUCUAAUUUAUAUAAAAAUUUUAAUUUUUUUUUUUUAAAAAAAAAAAUUUAUGGUUGGAAUAUAAUUUAUAAAUAAACAAAAAGAUUUUGAAUUUGUUCUAAAUUUAGAAUCGGAAUUGUUAGCAGCUGGAAGAAAAUACCUACCGAUCAAAUAGUAGCUGGCAUGUCGUGGAGGACUAAUUGGUUGAACAGAUAUAAAUUAUUUUUUUCAGAGAUGUUGAUUUACUUGUUCGUAAUUUUUUUUAAAGAGAUUCUUUAGAAAUAAAACCAUUUUUUUCUUUUUUUUUUGGAGAUUAAUCAACAUCGCAAGUUGAAGUUUUUAAAGGAUUUAAUUGUUUUUAUUUUGUAAAUAUAUAUUAUCUUGAUUGUUUCUAAUCUCUCGCAAUUUAUUUUCUCAAGAACUCACAUCUGCGGAAAGAUUGGUACUUGGACGUCGGCUCUUUGCCUUUUAAAAGGGUAGUAUGUUACUUAUUUACUUAUUAAAAUGAGACAAAAACUAAAUUCAGAAUAUCGUGAAACAAUUCGAUUCGGGCAUUAGAAUGUUUGAAAAACCCUUUUCUGAUACAGACAGGACUGGAAGAGACGCACCUCUGGCGUACCAAUUGUCGAUUAUACUAAAAGAACUGAAAUAUUUCAUAGGACUGCUUGAAAAGUGGCAAAAAAAUAUUAAAUUAAAAUUAGGCUGUUCUUAUUGGGUUGUCAAUGUUUUAGGCCCAUAAUCUGGCUACAUGCCCUGCUUUUGUUAGUUUUUCACUCGUAGAAUUAAACAACACUCACCAGGGCCAAAUUAAGAAUUGAAAUUAUAAAGUAAUUAGAAAUGAAAAAGGGAAACCAACCCAAACAGAACAUUAAUUAAGAUAUAAACAUAUAAUAAGAAACUCCAAAUCUGUCAUCAGGUUUUAGUUACAAUUACUCGAGCUCAAAUUUCAAAACUAUAGCGAGUUUGAUACACCAAGUCAAAAUUUUGGCUAAGAUCAAAAGCAAAUUUAUUUCAGAACCACAUGCAAACACUUACGUUAUAAACUGCGAAACUCAAAUUUUCAUCGUAAUACUACAAAAUAUGAAAGACUCUACUGGACUGACCCUACUUCACUCACUGUUGUAUAAACUCUUCUUUUUUCCUUUCAUAAUAAUACAACCCUAUCAUUUAAUUAUAUAAUGAACAUUUUGAACAAAGUACAAAGAAAUCAAAUCAACAAUAAAUUGUAAGAGCAAAAAAGAACGGGUUCUAGUCGCUUCAAGAAAAAGCUUCAUUCAUCUGCAGGCUUUUCUUCAGUCUGCAACGGCAAACUGUUCCGCUCCUCUUCAACCUCCUUUUCUUCAGAUGUGGGUGUAACCCCAUUUUCAACUGCAGAUAGGUCACCAUUUUCUGAUAUGGCACUUCCAUCUGCAUUACUAUCUGGUUUUGGCACCUCUUUCGAAAGCGAAACUGUCAACAAGCGGCCAAGCCCGUCAUAUAUACUCUUUGCGUCCGUGAUAAGAGCAACACCACCGGGGUAACAACGACCAAAGCAUGUGGCACAAUGCGGGAAAGCAAUCUACAACAAAGGGAAGUUUCCAGUGCACAGGCAAACUUUAAGUGACUUACUAAGAGAAACUCUAUGAAUAACAAUAUGCCCAGAACGAUAAGAACCUCACCUCUAUGAAUGCUCGGCAAAGAGAGAAGAAUAGCCCAGACUCGUUUUGUCUGAGCAUACGUGUUGCAUUGUACCUUAAUAGUGAGUCACUAACAGCCCGCAAUCCCUCUAUUAAUUCUUGCGCAAGUAUAUGCUUCAAACUUAAAGGGGCACAAGGACGCAGCUCGUUCAUUGCAGCAGAUACACCUACAUCACCUUGAGUGAGAUUGAAUGUUGUGAACUUAAUAGCAAAGAUACUUUUCUGAUUCAAGAAUCUCGUGAUUCUUCUCUGCUAGUCUUCAUGUAACUUCUUGAGGCAAUACUAGUUAGAAAAGGUGCCACAUGAAAUUGUAUGCUUGGUUUCCAAUUGUCAGUCCCAUCCAUCCUUGGGGCCAUGUAGAUGAUCUUUGAUUCCAAAAUGUCACAUUGCUCCAAAAAAAUUAGAUUUAUGGAAUGCUAUUUUAGCUUCUAAGUUUCUUAUCGAUAAAAAAUUAAGGUGUUUGGCUUCCAAAAAAAAAAAAAAAAAAAAAUUCAUACAACACUCUUAUCAACCUUAAUGGGAUGGAACUUCAAAUAACCCAACUAUUAUUUGGUUUACCAUUAUGCAAAUUACAAGAAGCAAAGUACAUGCCAUGAAAAGUAUUGGUGACCAGAAAAUUGUAGACCACACUCACCAUUAAUGAACACAGCGAGAGGUGGAUGCUCCAUUAGAUAGGAUGGGGGAGUCACGUCCUCCUUACUUUCUUCACCAACACUAGUUGCUGGAAAGCCAACAGCUGGUAGUGGAACCCAUCGAUGUGAAUCCAACACUAGCUGGGGGCAAAGACAUCAAGUAGAAAUCAUAACUUAUCAAGCAGUAGGCUGCUUGCCAGAAACUAAAACCUACAAUGUGUUAUUUAUAGUGUAAUCAAUUCAAGUUAACAGUAUAUCCGAAGGCAAUAUCAAGUUAGCAACCGUAAGUCACCAAUCAGUAGGCUGCCUGAUGGAAUAGAAAAACUUAAAGCAGAACGUGAAACAGCAGCAUAGAUAUUCCAAACUAACACUGCAGAUUUUCAAGCAUCAGAAGGAAACUGUCAGGAACUCUAGACAUCAACUCUGACUAGUCAAUGGUAUUCUGGGUUUAUGACUGAGAUAGGUGAGUAAAGAAGUUGACGAGAUGAUGAGAGAGAGAACAGAACUAGAUCGAGAGAGAGAAAAAGGGAGAGAAAGUGUACUGUGUUACUAAGCUGCCAGAAAUUAUCCUGAAACGUCUCCUACAACUUAUUUUUAGUUGACUUGGUACACUUAACAACUUGCUAACAGUUCCAACAGAUUUUAUUCAGCUACUAACUGACGCCAUUCAACCACCAUAACUGUAAUAGUUUCAACAGAUUCUGUUCAACUACUAACUGAUAUUGUUCUUCUUCCCACGUUGAUGAUAAACUUUAAGGAUUUAGUGACAAAAACUAACUUCAAAAUAUCAACUAUCAACCACUCACCUGAAAAUUUUCAACAGCUGUACUCAUGUUCUUUGAGAAUAAAUUGAGAACUGCCCUGUACAGUGAGAAAAUCAGUUUCUAAGAUCAAUUAAAAAUUGUACUACAAAAGAUAUUUUGUAUCAGAAGAGAAACAAAUAAAAGACAUUUGCUUACUCCUCAAAAAGUGGUGGAAGCAAUCCCCGGAAAUCAAGUCCAACCCAACCAAGCCCCAUAGCACAAUACUGCCAGAAAGAGAUACGAGGAACAUCAUCAUAAACUUCAAAAUUUUAUUACGAUCCAUCUUUCUCUCUGCAGUUUAAAUGACAAAAAGGACAGAGGCAAAAGUGUCUCAAACAAGAGGAAACACAAGAUUUGGAUUAUAGCGAGCAAGGAUAUCCCAAAAGUAAGAAGCAAAUAAUUAUUAUUGUCAAAAAAUUAUGAAUCACCACUGGAUAUGCUGAAUCAUGGACGUGCUAGUGUUUGGAGCUGCUUACAGAAAACACUUAAUCACUAGAUUCUUAAAAACAAUUUAAAGCACUCGUGCUGGUUUAAAAAAUAGGAAUUAUACAUUGGAUAAAAAUACUUGCAGUUAAAAAUAUGCAAUUACAUGUUUGGUAAACAAAAUAAAUGAGUAUAACUAGUUAUCUAAAUAUGUAAAAAAGAAUAAACACCUUACACUCAUUUAAAAAAAAAUCACAUGGGGGUUUCUUUUAUUUAUUUUCGCUAAGAGUGUGCUUAUAACUUGUAAUCAAUUCUUUAAUUUACCAAAAAGAUAAAUUAUGUGGGGUGCUUAUAAUAUAAAUAGCCUAUAAGCAAUCCUCAACAUUUCUAAAAUGAAAGAAAUGUGCCAGAACUGAAUGCAUUUAAAACUGUAGUUGUUACCAUGCACUGAUCCAGGAUAUUUGACAGAGAUCCUCCUUCAGUUAUCUUUGGGAGCAUGACUUUAAGAGUUUUCAGGUGUGAGGUAAUUUGAUGCAUAGCCCAACUGAAAAGAAGCCCACCAUCGUAAUUUUCGUACAUUUCCUGAUGAAUCAUCAGAAAAAUAUUGCUCGGUACUGGUUAACAACAUCAAACAGAUGCAUCCUAUGACAGUUUAUCAUCCCCUUUAAGUACUCAUAAGCAUUUUUCUGAUCCAGAUCCUCAAGAAUUCCAGUAAGCCAUGCCUCUCGACAUCUCAGAAACUAAAACACAAACGAGAUCUAUUAGACAAGAAGACAUGAAGAUCCAUAGAAAAGCAACUAAAUGCACAUUUAUAAAACAAAUCCUCUUCUAAAAGAAGAAAAAAAAAAAGCAGCAGAGAUUGAAAAGGCAUAAAAGGCACUUGAAUUCCACAAAACGUACCUGCAAACGCAUUUCGUACUCGCUAAAGACUCCUAUACGGCGUAAAUAUCCAAUAAUACGCAGACAUUCUGGUAACUGCACUACAAAUACACGUUCAUAAAAUGGAACUGAGGCUCCAAUUCAUACAACGAAAUAAGUUGGGUUGCACUUAUUGCAUUUGUAGUUAACAUAACUAUCAUAAUUGUUUAAUGAUAAAAGAACAAACAUAUUAGAUAACUAUGAUAAGAUACCUGUAUAUUGGAUCGAAGCUUCUGGAGAAGCUGAAAAAGAAGUGAUUGGGUUGUCUGUCUAACUUCGGCAGCAAGUGCUUGAAUAACAGGCAAUCUAGAAUAGCAUGAAGAAAGUGGAUUCAAAUAAGACUUGUGAAUUCAGUAGCCAGAACAAGAUGACAAAGAAUAUAACACAGAAUAACUCACUUGGGGUGCAUGGUUGAAAGCUUGCACACAAAUGCUUCCAAAUCAAGAGCCUCAUCAUAAUUUCCAUUCCUCACACAUCUGCAGGAAUAUGGAAAUUAAUAAUAAUCCUCAUGGCAGUCACUAGAAAAGUGAAAUCUCCAGUCAUCCCGCCCAUCCCAUUAAAAAAAAAAACCCAUAAAGCGACUGUAUUUAAAGUAUCCAUCCCAUCCAGCUAACAAAAUUUUCACUUUACAGUCAGUUGCAUGCUCAAUCUUUUUCACAUUAUUCCUUUUCCCCAAGUUUACAAAGAGGUGUAACUAAAAUAAGCACAAUAAAAUAGAAUUUCUAAAUUCAUUUGAUGAUGUACUUCAUACAAACAAAGUAGGAAGCCUGGCUGGCAGCUUUUAGAAAUUGAUUAGAGGCACUAAUGUUUAUCCUAAUGAAUCAAUAACUUUAAUAAUAUCAAGAUUUAUUAUACCACUAAGAUGCAUUCAACACUAAACCAGUUUAAGCUUAGAGUUAUCGUCCCAAAUGUGAUGGUAUGAAAAAGGUAAUAUGCGUAUACGGCAAACUCAAGUGAAUCCAUUGGCUUGCUGGCCAUUAGUUGAAUUUUAACAAGUAACUUUUACAGUUUUGUCAACCACAUACGUGUCCAUAAGCUGAGGAAUUUCAAGCAAGUCAAGUAAAGUACUGUGAUUUGCUAGCAAUGUUUGGUUCAUCUUCCUCUUCUCCAAAAUCUGUUCAGCAGACUCAAUGAAUUCAGUGCAACCAGAUGUCAGUUUUGGGAUCUCAAUUAUCUGCAAAACAAGGAAAACCAUAUCAGAAGAGCUUCAGUUAUAAUCUCUCCUUGCCAGUACCAAGCUAUUAGAAAAUCCAACAUGACCAUCAGUUUUCUAUAUUUUCAUAGUUUGAAUCUAGAGAGAUGAGAGUAUGCAAAUGUUAAUAAUAUGCCUCGCAAGCCAAUCAUUAUAUUUAUUAUGCUUUAUGAUUAUGUGAUGCAACCAAACGUCACUCUGUCAGAUUAUCAAAAAUUGUGCUAUGUCACAUUGUCUAGUUUCAGAUCCUAACUGGAACUUUGUCUUGCCAAUUUGCACUUCCACUCUGAGAUAACUUCCUCCCAAAACAAUGCAUGUACUACUUGAAAGUCCACAAUGUUUGAUAAACACACAUAUUGGACAUUUCAUCUCAUAAGAAAUGCACUUUCCUAUUCUGAAUGGAAAUUUUUUUAAAAAGAUCUUGUAAUUACCAGGGAUUCAAGAUGUUUAUCAAUAGAAGUCACUUCCUCUCUUAUUGCAAGCAAUGCAUCAGCUGCUGCAAUGAAGGCACGGUAGUUUCCAACUGCCACCUCCUGCAUUUGCCUCUGAAUUCGCUCUGCAUCUACUCGUAGAAGCUCCGGUUCCUUUAAACCACGAUAAAAUUAAUGAACAAAACUUACAGAAUUAAGUAUUCAAUUUACAAGUAAUUCAAACAGUGCCAAAAGAUAUGCACGCAUAUGUACCUUGUGUAGCCUAUCCAGAGUGAAGGAGAGAAGCUCAGAGACGUAAGGUUGUUGAGAGACAGAGGCGAGAGGAAGGAGACCUUCCACAGUCUGUAACGACAACAUCGUGUCUUUACCACUCUCUGAUUCCAUUUUUGUCUUCUCUUCUUCAGUUUAACAAGGGCUUCUGGAUCUUCAAGCAGAUAAUCAAAUCAGAACUUGUAUUUAAUAAUCAAUAACUUUAACUUUAAGCAUCUAACACUUUAUCUUGUAAUGCGGAGCUCCUUAGCUUGGCUAGUAUAGUGUUUCCUUGGUUAGAUCUAGGAGUUUACGUUAAGGACUAAUCGUGUUUCUUUUCCCGUUUGUUUCUCGUGAAAUUUACACACAGCACGAGACUUUGUUUUUAAUAUGUAACUUUGUUACAUUUCAUUGGAUUUACAUUUAGCCGGUUAAUGAAAAGUUCAAGAGACCGAAGAUAGAUAUCAGCAAUUUCGAGUUUAUAACCUCCAAUUUUACAUAAAAAUCUACAUGAAAUCACAACCAAGGUGAUUAACAGAUCCAGCCACGGAAAUGUCCAAAAUUCUCAAUUCAAAUUUAUCAAAUUCGAUCUCGAAAAUGAAACACAAAACCAGUCUAUGAAUGUAUAGAUAACCGACCGAUAACAAAAUCGAGACCCGCACGUUUAGACUUCAAGCGAAUAACGAGCUCUGGUUUUAUGAAAUUACCUGAAGAAGGAAGAGGAUAGGAGAGCCAAGGCUGCACCGUGAGUUCGACAAAAGGCGUGUGUCAGCUCCGUAACCGGAAACUAAGUACCCGCGAAAGAAAUUUGAUCUGACGAAGAAGAUUAGAAGAAAAUUGUGGGGAGAAAGAGUUGCAGAGAGACGAGGUGUGAGGGAAGAGUUGGAUGGGCUUGGGCGUAACCAAACAAAAUGGAUUUGAAAACAAAAAGACAAUGAGCUCUCUGCCUUAUGAGUUGGGCUGGCCUUUUAUGGGCUUGUGAGGUGUGGACUUCUGACAGUUUGUAAGUUUGAGUUUAUUGACAGUUUUACCCUUGUUUAAAGUUUAAUUUUAUAAAUUUUUUGAAAAUUUUAAUUUCAGAAAAUAGAAUAUAUAAAAUAAAAAUUUAAAUAAUAACCCAAAUACGUAAAACAUAAUUAAUUUUAAAAUGUUAAACAAUUAAUAUAUAUAAAUUAAAUUAAAAAAAUUAGUAAAAUAUAUUUACAAACUCGUAAAAUUUAAAUUUCUAGAGAUAUUCAAAUGAAAUUGUGAGAAUAUAUUUAAAUUAUUUCGCUUGAUCAUAUUUUAAAAGAAAAGGCAAAUUUUGAAUUAAAAAAAAAAAGGUUGGUCCAACUCGUAAUUAAAUAAAUUUAAAUCCUAAAAGUAUACCCAAAAAAAUAUAUAUAUAUAUAUAAUGUAAAGUUAUGGUGGUCACGACCGAAAGUUAAAGUCGUGUUUGGCAAAUAAAUAGCGACGGUCUCCCAACUUUCUUCUCUAUGACCUAAAACGACGACGUGCAGCCGAUUUAUGACGGUUUAGAAUCUCCUCCAAACAAGUGGCAUCAAUAUAACCAUCGUGUAAAUAAACCUUGACAUUAACACCAAUACAUCUCCCAAUUUGAUACUUCCACUGAUUUUAAAUCCCACGAAAUGAUAGAGACAUUGCUGUAGUAGUUUUUUUAAAAAAAUAAAUAAUUCGUUUUUAACUGCAACAAUCAAAACAUUAAUUAAUUAAUUGAAAUUCGUGAUGACUUUUAAAUAAAAUAUAAUUAUUUUAAUUAUUAUAUUAUUAAUGAUAAUAUUAAAAUAAAUUUAUUAUAUAAAAAAUAAAAACUUAAAAAAUUUGUAUAUAAAUAUACACUAAUAAAUUAAAUUAUCAAUUUUAUUUAAUUAAAUAUCACAUAUAAUAAUAAUAUUUUAUAUUUUUAAUAAAUUUAUAUUUAUGACCAUCGAAUAUUAUGAUUUUACUAAUUUAUUGGGUACACAAAAUUAAAGUUAUGGGGUCACUAUCAACCUCAAAAUAUAUGACUCAUCUUGCUUGUCAUAUCAUAUCAUAUCAUAUAUAUAUAUAUAUAUAUAUAUAUAUUUAUAUAGAUAUCGUGAACCAUCAUAAUUCAAUGUAUUAUUUAUGUUUCGGUUGGUAACAUUUUUUUCAGGACUAUUCUAGAUGUUUCCUGAAUUUCUUAGUCUAAUCUUAUCAUUCAUUAAAUUUCGAUUUUUAAGUUUAAUAUUAUUUUUACUGCUAAAUCAAUAAAAUAUAAUUAAAUAAACUAUGAUAUAAUACUUUAGAUAAUGACGAUUUUGGCAGUAAAAUUAAGUAACUACGAUUAAUUUUUACUGGUUUACCGUAAGAAAAUGACCCAAGUGACGCAGACCCAUCGGUGUUAAAACUGGUCAGGCCAGACCCAGAUGGCGCAGUUGUGGCGGGACUCAUGGCCCGUGGCUCGGGACAACUGGGGUGCAGCCACUCAAGCCAUGAAGGUCAUGUGGGGUACUUGAACAGUCUCUGUAGUGUCCUUCACAGCUUAGCUUGCUCCAAGUCUCCAACACAUUAGGUCCCAUUUUACUAAUCCUGGUCCAUUCUGCUCUACGUACACAUAUAUACGUAUCUACCCAUAUAUAUAUAUAUAUAUAUAUAUAUAUCUCUCUGAGUUAAGUGGUCUCCGAGUUAAAUGUUUAGAUGGGUUUUCUGGAUUUUGCUUAUUAUGAUGUACUCGUUUUACAUCUAAUAAAUAUUAACUAUUAAAAAUUCAUACAAGAUUUUAGAAACUAUAUAUUUUUACAUUUUGUAAUUUUCAAUCUAUAGUCAAAAUGUACACAAUUUUCGUAUUUAUAAAUUAUAAGCCAUGUAAUCAUAUCAUAAACAGUGUAUAAAUUCCAAUAAUUUAUAAAGUAACUUAUCAAUAUUUUAUAUAAUGCACAUGCUGAAAUGACACGUCGGAUAUGGCCCGCUUAAUGCCUAUCUAGAAUAAUGUGGAGUAGACUUAUGUUCUCAUUGUUUGGAAUUUUAAUAUCCUUAAAACUUAAUUCAUAAUUAAAGUCAGGAUUCUUAUUUUUAUUUAUAUUAUUAAUUAAAAUUUAUUUACAUUAUAAUAUAAUAAUUAAUAUGUAUGUAUUAUUUAAUUACUAAAUAUAUAAAUCUGUAUAAAUAAUAAUAAUAAUAAUAAUAAUAAAUUAAUGUUAAUUUUUAAUAUAUUACAUAAUGUAUGCAGUAUUCUUUUCUGAGUUUGAACUAAUAGCCAAUUUUUUUUUUUAAUUAAAAACUCAUUUGGUAAAACAUCGUUGUUUAUUAUUUAUAAAGUUCAAAAACAUAAUCUAAACAAUAACUAAUACCCAUUACAAUUCAGACUAAAUAUUUUAAAUUUAUAGAAUUUUUAAUAAUUAAAAUUAUAAAUAGAGAACAAAUUAUGUGUAAAUAUAAUGUAAAUAUUUGUUGUGAAUUUAAUUAUAAUAUUUUGCGAACAUUUAUUUAUAAAAUUUACCAUUUUAUUCUUAGUUUGGGAAUUUAAUUUUAGAAAAUAAAGUAUUAUUUUUAUUUUUUUAUUAAAUUAUUUACCAUCUAAAAAUAAAUAAAUAUUACUAUAAAUUGGCACGAGACAAGAGUAAUUAUAAAACUCAUUAUUGUCAUAUUGUCUUCGCCCAAGAACCGGGUCAAGAUUUUUUUGGCCCGACUCCGAUAUUAUUCCAACCCGUGAUUAAGUGAUUGACAAUUGACAUGUACAUUACAAUUUUAUGUUAUUUUUACAAUAAAUCUGGGUAUUUUAUUUAUUAUUAAAUACAAUUUGUGUAUUUAUUUAAUUUAUUAAAAUUAAAAUAUCAUUUAUUUUUGCUAGGCUAAAAAGAAUAAUAUUUAUACUCCCUCGUGUUUUCUUGUCCCGAAGCGUUACAACUUGAUUACACACAUUAAGUACACACUCGUCCUGCAUUCCAUUUAUGCACACCACUCAAUCCAUCCAAUCAGAUAAUUUAUCUGUACCUCACAUCUCCCUUGCACACACAAAUUACACAACACCUCAGAGCCUCUCCGAAUCUCCCUCUUCCUUGUUCUGUUUUUAUCUGUUUAGUUUAAUCAAAAUCCAUAUUUUCCGUUCUCUACGGACCCAAAAGAAGACUGAGAAUCCGUCAAAGGUGGACGUAAGCCAGGAGAUUGUAUACAUAAAACUCGACCCAAAAAGAGGGGGAGAAGAGGAAAUUCAACCAGUGGCGCCUGGUACCUGACCGGUUUUCUUGGUGGGUAUUUCAGGUUCAAGGGCUACCGUUGCAAGCUUUGCCGUCUCCUGGUCUGUUCAUCACUGCCAUAUUCAUGGACCUUAAACCUCCUCUGGUUUGAUUUCUCUUCGGGGUCUUCUUCUUCUUCUAUUCACUCUGUUCUUCAAAGAAGACCCUCGAGUUCGAGCUUGCAAUUCGACGGCUGCCCUGUCUUUACCUCUCGUCAAUCGGCAUUUCUGGCUUCGUUUUUAAGGUUCAGGAUCCAGGUCCCCUGUAAUUUUUUUUUCCGAUUUCCGAGAUUCAGAUUCUUUCGGGUUCCGCACAGUUUUCAUUUUCUCGAGAAUCUUUCUGGUUUCUCAAGAAUCGAGGAAGGGCAUAGUCAUAUUUGUGCGUUUUGUUUCUUGUCAUAAGCUGGGCGGAUUUAGAGAAACGAAUACGAUGAGCGCAGCGGUCCAUUUCAGCCCGCAGAUACCAGUCCUCCAGACGGCGACCUCGUCGCCAUCGCUGAACCGGAGGCAGCCGCUUUUGGGACGACGCAGCGGCCGAUUCAUGUCGGAGGGGGCAGGGGAGGUGCCGUCACCCAGAGGCUGUAACGGUGCCAGGUUCGGGAGGUUUGCGGAGGGACAACCGCGGAUGCGCUGCUGUAUGUUGCUGUUGCCCGUGCGGGCUGAUGAACCUNNNNNNNNNNNNNNNNNNNNNNNNNNNNNNNNNNNNNNNNNNNNNNNNNNNNNNNNNNNNNNNNNNNNNNNNNNNNNNNNNNNNNNNNNNNNNNNNNNNNNNNNNNNNNNNNNNNNNNNNNNNNNNNNNNNNNNNNNNNNNNNNNNNNNNNNNNNNNNNNNNNNNNNNNNNNNNNNNNNNNNNNNNNNNNNNNNNNNNNNNNNNNNNNNNNNNNNNNNNNNNNNNNNNNNNNNNNNNNNNNNNNNNNNNNNNNNNNNNNNNNNNNNNNNNNNNNNNNNNNNNNNNNNNNNNNNNNNNNNNNNNNNNNNNNNUUUCCCCCUGGGAAACGCCAGUGUCUCCUGUUUCCAGAAGCAGCUUACUGAAAAGUGCAUCUCAGAGAGAGUCACCCUUAGCCAGGGCUGUCGUGCACCUGUAACCAAACAGGAACUCUUCUUCUGGUGUGAAUGUAAAAUGGCACAAUCAACUUAUGUGCCAACCGGGUAAAAAUACAUAAAUAUAUAUCGAUUGACCCCAUAUAAAUUCUGGCUUUCUUUUUCUUUUCUCAAUUGCUUCUUCUCUUUUGUUGAUUUAACACGACGGUUGGAUUAUUGGGUUCUGUUUGAAGAUUAAGGCCGUGUUUGGUCGAGAUUUUUUUACUUACUGUUUCUUAUCUAGAUUUGUCUCAAAUUUGGUGUCUGACCAAACGAGGUGUUGCGGACUCUUACUACAUGUACAUCCAAUCGUGGUAGUCUUUUGAAUGAUUCGAAAAAGAAAAAAAAAAAGGCCUCCCAUUCAUGAUCCUGUAAAUGGGUUUCUUUCCUCUUUGCAUAUAAAUAUAUAUAUAUAUAUAUAUAAUGUGUGAGUUUAGAGAUCGGAGUGGAUAGAAGAAUGUAUGAUAUUUGGACUUGGGUAUGUUUAGUCUUUCUGGUUUUUCACUGUUGCGAACGUGUAUGAAACUNNNNNNNNNNNNNNNNNNNNNNNNNNNNNNNNNNNNNNNNNNNNNNNNNNNNNNNNNNNNNNNNNNNNNNNNNNNNNNNNNNNNNNNNNNNNNNNNNNNNNNNNNNNNNNNNNNNNNNNNNNNNNNNNNNNNNNNNNNNNNNNNNNNNNNNNNNNNNNNNNNNNNNNNNNNNNNNNNNNNNNNNNNNNNNNNNNNNNNNNNNNNNNNNNNNNNNNNNNNNNNNNNNNNNNNNNNNNNNNNNNNNNNNNNNNNNNNNNNNNNNNNNNNNNNNNNNNNNNNNNNNNNNNNNNNNNNNNNNNNNNNNNNNNNUUUUUUUUUAAUUAAAUUAAUAAUAAAUUUGAUAUAAAAUUUUACGCGAGGACAGCUUUAUGUUAUUUUUUAAAAAAAAUAUAUAAUUAUCAUUAUAUUAUAAUUAAAUGAUGUAAUUUAUACGUUUUUAUAAUGUUUGUUAAACCCAUUAAGAAAAAUAAAACAUUAUUAAACAAAAUUUUUUAAAGGAAAUAAUCGUUUUAAUGUUAUUAAAAUAUUUAUUUUGAAUAUCAUAUGAAACUUGGAAAAAGCAAAUCCAAUAACGUUGCGGUAUUAACUUUUCAUCACUCACCAAGAAGUGCAUCGUGGCAAAUGAUUCAACAAAUGCAAAUAUCAUAUACAUAUAUAUAUAUAUCUAUAUAUAUAUAUACAUAUAUAUAUACACACACACACACAUAUGUAUAUAAGAGGUGGAAAAGUUAUUUAUAUUUUUAAUAGACGCCGAAAUCAGAUUCCAUAAUCAUUUAAUUUGGCUAAUGGAUCAUUAAAUUUAAUACCCCCUCCUAAUCAUAUUGUCUUAAAGCUAUUAUCCCUCCUUUAAUUAAUUAUAUAUUUUAAUAAAUAUGUUAUUGAUGUAUGAUUAUAUAGUUUGGUAAAAUUAAACCAUAAAAUAUAAAAUAAAAAUUAAUUUAAUUUAUUAAUUAAAGUUUUUUAUAUUUUACUUAAAGUAUAUCAAUAAAAUUUUAUAACUUAAUUUAUUAGAAUAUGAUAAGACUAUAUAUAUUAAAUUUAGUUUAUUUUCAAUAAGUUAUUACACGUUUGAUGAAAUUAGAAUUUUAUUAAAGUUAAAUUAUUAAAAAAUAAUAAUUUAAUAAAAUUUUCAAAUAAACCCAUGUUGAAGUUUUUAUAUAUUAAAUAUGAAAUUUCUUACUUAUUUAUAAUAAUAAUGAUGAAAUUGACUUCACUUUAUUAUGUUUGAUUUGACUAAAUUUCUUACAAAAGCAAAAUGUAAGCACUUCCACUAAUGCAAUGACUCGUGCUAACAUUAUAUAUACAUAUACAUAUACAUAUAUAUAUAUAUAAUAUUAUGGUGGAAAAAUAGAAACCCAACUUUUUUUUUUUGGCAUUUUUAAAUUCCAAUUCAAUGCUACAUAUUCAUAUAAAUACAAAUAUUUUAGAUUUUUGUAUUUAACCAUUGUAGAUGUGUCAUGUUAUUGUUAUUGAGCAAUGGGAUUUAAAAAUUAUUAAAAUUUUGAAAAAUAUUUGGGUUAUUAUUUUUUUAGUAAAAGCCCAAUAUUUUAUUUUAUAUUAUGGUCGAUAAAUAUUAUUAUAUGAUUAUAAAAUAUUUUAAGAAUUACUAUUUUAUUUUUUAUUUUUUUGCUAUAAAGUUUUUGGAGAGAAAAAACUUUGACUUUUUUUGUCAAAUUAAAUAAGAAAAAAGAAGUUCGAUUUUUUUUUUUUAAAAAAGAGGAAGACUCAUUCUCAUGGGUUAUGGGCCAGGCCCAUUAACCGGCUUCAUUGGGCUUUUAAUGGGCUCUUGGGUUUUUCGUUUUCAUUAGCAUUUUUUUUAAUUAUUUAUAAAUAUUAGUUUAAUGAAAGUAUUUUUGUUUACAAUAUAGGUUUAAAUUUAAUUAUAAUACCAUAAUUUACUUUUUUAAGUUUUACUAAUUUUACAAUAUUUAAAUACAUUAUUCAAAUUUUAUUUUUAUUUCUUUGGAGUAAAUUUUUAAUAUAAAACCUAUUACGUGUAUAUUUAUUUUUAUGUUCCCUCAUCGUCUAUAGUUAUCAACAUUGAUAUUAUAAAAAAUGGUUGAUAAUUAUAAAUAAUUAAAAAUGAUAUUAAAUUACGAUGAAUAAUCAUAAUUAUAAUUGUUGAAUUUAAUCGAGUGGUUCGUCAAUGAUAGAACUCCAUCCAAUUUGAAUUAAUAAUUAAUAGUUGUCAUUACUCGACAAUUAUCACUUGAAUUCAAUAAGUAGUCAGUUUUCACGAUCUAACAGAGUUUGAAAAUAAAGUACAUAAAAAAAUUACUCUCUCUCUCUCUUUAAAGUUAUUCUUAUGUGAUUCAUGUAAAAAAUAAAAUAUUUAUGUUAAUUUUUUUAAUAAAAAAUAUAAAUUUUUACAAAAAAAUAUUUACUUUAAAUAUUUUCAUACAAUUGGUUGUUUGAUAAUAUAAUUAUAUGUAUUGUUAUGCAUAUUAAUAUUAAAAAAUUAUGUUUUUUUUUUGUAAAUUACGUAUUAAUUUAAUAAAUUUUUAAUAAAAAUAAUUAAAUAUUAUAUGACAAAAUGUCAUUGAAGAUAAUAUUAAAUAAUAAUAAAAAUUAAAAGUAUUAAAUAAUUUUUGUUUACACAUCACCAAGAAGAUAUAUUAAAUUGUUAUUUGUAAUAAAUAAUAUAAUUAAAUUUGAAAUAAAAUUUAAAAUAAAUUAGAUAUUUUUCUAAUUAGUCCGCGAUUACUAAAAGAAAUUACAUAUUUAAAAGAAAAAGGACUAAAAUGUAAAAACAAAUUAAGGUGGGGGUAUUUAAGUUAUAACAGAAUAUACUCUUCUUCAUCACGAGGUUCGAGAAUAGAUAAUCAUAAGAUCCGAUUGUGAAACAGAGAGAGGUUUCUCCUUUUUUGGGGUUAUGGUGGUGGUGGUGGGGGAUUUGUCGUUCUUAAUUUGCCAACGCAGGAAACAGACAAACAAAAACACAUCCCUUAAAUUUUAAAGGUAAAGGUGGUUGGGUUGGGUUUUCAUUUUUUUCUUUCUUUAUCUCUCUACCUAUCUCCAUCAUUGCACUAAUCAUUAUCAUCAUAAUCGUCGUCUUCUUCUUCUUCUUCCUCUUCUCUGAAUUCUAGGACUUGUCAUUUCUUGUUAUGGAUCCCUAAUAUUCUCUACGCAACAAGGGGAUCUUCCUCAUUUCAUGGGGGUGCGCUGAGUUUCUCGAUCCAUUUUUUUUUGGAACCAUUUCUGGUUCUGUUCGCGGAGGUAAACCCCUGUUGUUUUUCUUCUUUCAUUCCUUUUAUCCGCCUUUAGAAACGUCUGUUAAUGUUUUAUGAUCUUUAUUUUGAAAAUAUGAGAAAUUGAUUCGUGGAUUUUGUGUAUGUUAACCGAUUUUACCGUCGAUGUUCAUGAGUAGAUAUUCUUGGCAAUUUCAUAUAUUUUUUUUCUUUAUUUUUGCCUCUCGGGUCUGUUUCUAUGUAAAACAUUAUAGCUCCUUGAAGAGAUUUUUGUUUGUCUUUUUUUUUUUUUCUGAUGCAUGAACAUGAUGAUUGCUUUCCUUCUUUAUCAUAUCUAUUUUCACUGCUAUAUGUAUAUAUGCAUGAAUAUAUCAUUUUGAGUUGCCGACCGAAAUCAUGUAUUUGGUUCUUUGGUGUUUUUCAUUUCCCAAAAGUAGCUCUCGUGGGAAAUUCAUAAAACUUUGCAUACUCAAAAUUUGUUAUCUGAGUUAAAUCUUAUAAAUGAUAUCUGGAUUUGGUAAGGGCCUGCUUCCUAAAUUCUUAAGAGCCUAUUGGAAAAUGUCAAUCAUGUUAUAAUUGCUAUAGUCAUCUUCUAGCUCUGCUUUCAAUAUGCGCUUUUUUAUGCAUCAGCAAUAGAAGAUCAUAAAAUUCAAUACGAAUUUUAGUUAGCUAUGCCCUUAUUCCUUUCGCUUGUGUUUUGAAAGGUUAUGGAGAUGGAGGAGGGCAAUAAGUCUGAAACUAGUCUUACAUCAGCUGCUGCCUUUGUGGAAGGAGGUAUACAAGAUGCCUGCGAUGAUACUUGCAGCAUAUGCCUCGAGGAGUUCACUGAUAGUGAUCCUUCAACGGUAAUUCAUAUCUUGUAGCUUCCCGUUCUUACUGCUUCUUUCAUUAUGGUGUGUUUCUAAAUGUUCUUUCUGUGCAUAGGUGAUUUAAAUUUAGUUAUUGUUCUGUUUAUUGCAUUGCAGGUGACCUCUUGCAAGCACGAGUAUCAUCUUCAAUGCAUCCUCGAAUGGUAGCUUAAUAUAUUUUUGAAGUUAUCAUCUUUUCUUUCUAAUUUAACAGAUGUUGGUUUUCUUUAUGGCUUUUGACUUUCUUGAAACAAUUUUUUGUAUGAGCUUUCAUGUGGCAGGCGUUCUAGAAUAUUUAUCUUUGCCAAUCAUUAAACACAAACACACACAAAAACACAUAUUGAAGAUAGUUCUGGAGACGUGGGUUGAAAUCUCUAAUGGAACCAAAUGGUUAGUGGGUUUGGGGAGAUGAGAGGGCAAGGGAGAGGAGGAUAAUCGUGUAAUUUGGAGUUGGGGUUUGAGAGGGGUCAGGAGUCAAAAGAUCUUUGAAAAAACAGAUAAGUAACGAUAUAAUUUUACGAUAUAAUUCUAACACACACAAGCACACACACACAUUUGUAUUCUUAAUAAUAUUUUUUUCUAAACUGGGUCAAUUUAUUGCAGGGUCUUCUUUCUCCAUGUUUUAAACAUUGUUUUCUCACAUUCAAUUAAAUAUGCACCAAAAAAACACUCUGUUGUAGGUCAAGGAAAUGUGUAUCAUUAGCUUGCAUCUGGGGUAACAAUAUAGAUUUUUCCUGGAAUAUUCUAAAUCCUAGCCAAAUCUCUAAUUCAAACACCUUAGAACUAUGCCUAUCUUUUUCUUCUAAUUUCACCAAAUACUUCGUAGAAUAAGAGAAGAAUAUCUUACAUCACUUCCAUAUUGGAGUGUAGUUGAAGUCUAAAUUUUUACUUUAAAGGAACUGUUGAAGAAAACUUUCAAUUUUAAAAUUGAGUAACGGAUGUUAGCAUUUCAUUUACAGGUGCCAGAGGAGCUCUCAGUGUCCCAUGUGUUGGCAAGAUGUUAGCCUGAAAGAUCCUGCCAGGUUGAUUUUGGUUCUAAUAUUUGCUUCUAACCUUUUUGAGACUGUACCUCCUUUGCAAGAUCUGAUGAGUGUGUGUUGGCAGUCAAGAAUUGCUUGAAGCAGUGGAAACGGGAGAGGAGAUUUAGGGUUACUUCAUCAAGAAAUUCAGCCGUAUUUCAUCAUACCACACUUGGUGAAUUCGAAUUGCAGCAUGUCCGUUCAUACUAUGACAUCUACUCUUUUGUGUGUGUGUGCGUGCGUGUGUGUGUGUGUAUUGUGUGAAUAUUUGAUUGGUUUAUUACAUAUACGGUGUUCCCUUCUAAUAAUACUGAAUAUAAGUUUAUAUAAUUAUGCAGUUACCAGUUGGUGCAAGUGAUUCUGAACUUGAAGAGCGGAUAAUUCAGCACUUGGCAGCAGCAGCUGCCAUGGGAAGAGCCCACCAAAUUGGUAGGAGGGAAGGCCAGAGAAUUCGAUCAUCUGCUCACGGCCGCCCGCAAUUCUUGGUAUUCUCUUCUCAUCCAAAUGCACCAGAAUCUGGUUCUGUUCCAUCCUCUCUAGUUCAAGUAGAAGGUCAAACUGAACCAGCUGCAAUCAAUGUUGUCACUCCAUCCAUUCCCCUGUCUUCCGGUCGGGAUGAGUCAGUCCAGCAUAUUUCUCGAACUCGAUCUAGUCGAACUUUUCAUUCUGCAUCUGGGUCUAGCUCAAUGCCAACAAAUAGACGGGGAUUGUCCCUUAAUAAUCAUCGGUAAUCAUGAGCUCCAUUUUCUUCCCUUUGCAUCCUCAAGCACUGUUUCUGAUGCCAGAUCUUUAUCUUUGGAAAAUAUUUUAUACAUCUAUUUUUAUCUUAUUUCAUUGGCUUUUUUAUUCCAGAAACAUCUCUGGUCCUUCCUCACCAUCAAAUCAAGAUGGAGCAGGAUCAUCAGACUUCCAUUCUUUCUCUGAGUCCCUGAAAUCUAGAUUUAAUGCUGUGUCAAUGAGGUACGAAUUACUUAGGAGAUUAGUUAGUCAACAUGUAUUACUAAUUCGCUAUUAAUGCCAUCCUAAAAUCCAGGUACAGGGAUUCAAUUUCAAAGAGUGCGAGAGGGUGGAAAGAAAGGUUCUUCUCCCGUACUUCGAUGUCUGAUAUUAGCUCUGAAGUUCGAAGGGAAGUGAAUGCUGGAAUUGCUAGUGUAUCUUGCAUGAUGGAGCGUCUUGGAAGUAGAGAAAACAAUAGACCCGGCCAAGCUUCUUUAUCAUCCGAUCACUCCACUAAUUGUCCAGUGACAGAGGAAAACCAGCAGAACAAUGCAGUGGGUCGCAGAGUAGACUCUUUGGAUGAGAGUAAUAUCCGGCCUCCUCCUUACGUUCCAAGUGCUGGCUCCAUUCCAUCUUAAUUCAUUAUAUGUCGGUUCAGCGAUGACAUCAAUCCUCAGUGUUUCGUUUUUUUGAAGGUGAGGCACGUUGCUCCAUACGAAUAUCAACUCAGUCACUGCAAACUUUAUAUUAAGCACAUAAGUAUUAUAAUCUGAAACUCACCGAGUCUGAAAUUUUCAGGUUGUCAAGUGGUUUCUCUGAAAUGAAAUGAUGAGAGGAGGAGAUGCAGCCGGAUCGGGUUACGGCAAUGUGAGAAAUAAAGGAGAGAUGAAGACUUGUAUAACCAACCAGGUUUUACUGAAUUUGUUUAUAACACCAAUUUUAGAACAGACGACAGAGUAUAUAUAUAUAUAUGUCAUUUAUGUAUUUAACAAUGCCUUGCCUGGCCAUUUUCUAACCAGAAUGAAAAUGGUUAUCAGAACUCGAUGGAACUUGAAAAGCUUGUAUGUUCUUACUUGGGAGUUUGGGAAUAAUAUAUCUAUAUAUAUAUAUAUAUAUAUGUAUAUGGAUAUGUGUAUACUGGUGUGGUAUACAAUAUAAGCUGUACUUCUAGAAUGGCCAUUUUUUUGGAUGAUCUGGUUUUUCUUGGCAUGAAACUAGGGUUCCAUUUGUACAAUAUAUUUAUAAAUAUAUUCCAAUAUUAAAUUUUUUAAUAUAAUUUAUCUAAAAACUAAAAAACUAUCGGCCUAAAUUCGAUUUAUUUUGUCAAAAUUAUUAUAUUUGAUUUUUGCUCCGCGAUUAUUUGAUUAAUAAUCAUUAUGAUGAUAAUAAUAAUAAUAAUAAUAAUUUGGAAUUAUUCAGUGGGUACCAAUAAGAUGACCCGGGGGUCACUUGUCACCGACCAGGGGGGAAUCCAAUGAUAAUGGGCCCCUACGCUGGUUAUUCCAUUUUCUAAGUAUUAUUAUUGUGCACGUUAUUCUUUUUAACUCAAAACGUAUAAUAAAUUAAAAUAUAAAUUAUUAAAUUUCACGGAUUAAUAUAAUAUUUUCCUAUAAAUUAAAUAAAUAUUUGAAUCAGUGUCUACUCUUGCUAAUUUCUCUAUUUUAUUUUAAGAAAACUAUUACUUGAGCCUCUCUCUCUCUCUCUCUCUAUAUAUAUAUAUGCAUAUGUUAUAUUAUAAAGUAAACAAUUAAAAGUCACAAAUUAAUACACAUAGUUGUUGAAGAACCCAUUAGUUAGAAAGUUGUUGUCACGACCAAUUUUUUCUUAUAUGUAUAUGUACAUGCAUAUAAUCAAAUUUAACAUUCUACCGACUAUACUUGCAUAUUCCAAACAUGGCAUUUUAUUUUCCAAUUUUAGACUAACUUAACAUAUAUAAAAAUUUUGUCCCUUUAUUGGUGGUUAGAAUAUAAUUGUUCGAUGCAAUACAAUACAAUAUAUACCCACAUCAAUAAAAGAUAUAUAGAGAAUAAAUUAAUUAAAAAUUAUAUUGAUGUAUUUUCCAAUUAUAUAAUUAAUUUUAAAGUUAUAAACAAAUAAAUACAACAUUAUUUAUAAAAGUCUAAAACCGCAAGCCCAGGCCUCCUCACCAAACCCAAGGACGAGAGUGGGAAUUUGUUUACCGGUGGGUGUCAACACAAAAGGACAAGUGAAGGAGACAAACAACCCACCGGCUGUCUAAACGUCGCCGUUUACUUCUCCUUUUUUUUUUUUUUUUUAAAACCAAAAAAAUCCGAGAGGUACAUAACUUGGCGCAUUCCACGCGCCGUGCCUGUUGGAGAGAGGCGCGUCUUGGUAUAAAGCUUAGCGUAGAAACGAGGCCGCUACUAUUCACACACCGACAACUUCUCUCGAAGUCCCCACGCAUGUGAUAUUCCCUCAUCUCAAGCCGCGCCUUUGUCCUUCCUUGCCACGCGCUUCACAUGGCUUCUCCGCUUUUAUUUAUUACAAAAAUUAUAUUUAGUAUUAACAUUAAUUAACAAUAGUAUGAUAACUAGAGUUAAAUUAAAUUUAUAAUCAAGAUUAAGAAUUAAUUAGAUUAAAAAAAAAGGAUUAAGCAAAAAGUAGGCUUAGCCGAGAGAGGCCAGCUGGGGGAAGAAGCUGACAGUAAGGGAGCAGUCUGCUUCCGUGUGGACCCCACAUCCAGCCUGUCUCAUCACUUCCUUCAUUAAACUCUUCCUUUACUCUCCACUUUCCUUACGACAACACUCUUCCUCUCUCUCUCUCUCUCUCUCAACUUUCUUCUUAUGUCCUUUCCCUGACCCGACCCGACAACCACCUCUCUCCAAUACCCACAAACCGACGCCAUUAACGCACUUCUACUUUUCCCUUCAUUUCUGCUUUUCGCAAAUUCCAAACCACACACCAUCCUCCAGAGGUUAGUCCAAGUAAAGAGACUAUCACAUUCACAUUAAUCGCAACACUGGUUUUUUUCUCUUCUCUAUCUUUGAGCACCAUGGAUUCACACAUCUAUGGUGUCUCCAAGCUCUUACUCUUCGUU
This 56716-nucleotide long non-coding RNA is filed under the name Carica papaya (papaya). RNAcentral describes it as "long non-coding RNA (CPAP_LNC004269)". Lineage: Eukaryota; Viridiplantae; Streptophyta; Magnoliopsida; Brassicales; Caricaceae. The record is from RNAcentral.